Anolis carolinensis (green anole) is the source of this 54004-nucleotide RNA transcript. It is a transcript of the gene named staufen double-stranded RNA binding protein 2, with no coding region annotated. The transcript has 15 exons. Lineage: Eukaryota; Metazoa; Chordata; Lepidosauria; Squamata; Anolidae. The record is from RefSeq and is a predicted model, not a curated record.
CUUUUCAGGCCUAGAAUGGAAUCUCCCGCCCAGGCGCCGCUGAGGAAGGCAACGCGGACGGGACCAUUCGCGCACCCGAAAGGGGGGGGGCGCAGAAGCUGGCGAGGAGGAGGGCACUGGGCAGCCAAAGCCAGCGCCUGCCGAGGCGAGGACAUCUCUAGGAAGGAACCAGUAGAGUCAGCAGCACAAGUCAAAAUGCAGAGCUCAUCCAUCCACUCUGGAUCUGUCUUGUCCUCAGCAGUGAUCACUCCAUCAGUAAUAGCAACAAGUUCAGCCGUUAUUCAGCCUGCUGUGAAUGGAUCAAUUCCAGAAUCAGCUGUCGAUUGCAAUAAUUCUGCAUCCAGUCUGGUGGAUUCUGUGCCUUCUAAUGACUCACUGGUUCCUCUGGAAGAUAACUUGGCAAGCCCUAAAGAGAAAACUCCGAUGUGUCUGGUAAAUGAAUUAGCUCGUUUCAGUAGACUCCAGCCUGUUUAUAAGUUUCUGAAUGAACAAGGACCUGCUCAUGCAAAGACAUUCACAGUGCAGCUGACUCUUGGAGAUCAGACGUGGGAAGCUGAAGGAAGCAGUAUUAAAAAGGCACAUCAUUCUGCUGCAAGAAGAGCUCUGAAUGAAAGUACCCUUCCCAGACCAACACCUAGACCACCCAAAAACGAUGUUAAUAGUAAUCCAGGCAGUAUUACCCCAACAGUGCAGUUGAAUGGUCUUGCUAUGAAAAGAGGAGAGCCUGCCAUCUAUCGGCCACUAGAUCAAAAACCAGCUCCAAAUUACAACUUUCGAGGCAUGUACAAUCAGAGAUAUCACUGCCCAGUGCCUAAGACUUUCCAUGUCCAGUUGACUGUAGGUGACCAUGAGUUUUUUGGAGAAGGGAGGACUCGCCAAGCUGCUAGACACAAUGCUGCUAUGAAGGCACUUCAGGUUCUUCAGAAUGAACCAAUUCCCCCCAAAUUACCUGAGAAUACAGAAUCAAAUAAAGAAGCAGAAGAGGAAAAAGAUGCAAACAAAUCAGAGAUCAGCAUAGUGUUUGAAAUUGCAUUGAAGCGCAACAUGCCUGUUAGUUUUGAGGUAACAAAGGAAAGUGGGCCACCGCACAUGAAGAGUUUUGUUACUCACGUGUCAGUAGGAGAGUUCUCUGCCGAGGGCGAAGGAAACAGUAAAAAGCUGUCAAAGAAGCGUGCUGCAAUAGCUGUCCUGCAAGAACUUCAAAAACUGCCACCUCUUCCUGUGAUUGAAAAACCAAAACUUCAAUUUAAAAAACGACCCAGAAUAAUGUUAAAGACUGGACCAGAAUAUGGUCAGGGAAUGAACCCUAUAAGCCGCCUUGCCCAGAUUCAGCAAGCCAGACGAGAAAAGGAACCAGAGUAUCUUCUGCUUUCUGAAAAAGGAAUACCUCGUCGCCGAGAGUUUGUCAUGCAGGUCAAAGUGGGAAAUUAUAUCACAACAGGAAUAGGCCCAAACAAGAAAAUAGCAAAAAGAAAUGCGGCCGAAGUUAUGUUGCUACAGCUUGGCUAUAAAGCGUCUUCUCCAUUUCAAGAGCAGCCAGAAAAGUCAGGAGAGAUCAAAGGUUGGAAUGGCCAAAAUGUUGGGUAUCCUGAACCAGCAAAUGACUCUCCAAAGGGAAUUCUUCAUCUGUCUCCUGAUGUUUAUCAAGAAAUGGAAGCUAGCCGCAACAAAGCAUCCCCUGGUACCCCUGUAAACUAUUUAUCAUCCAAGGAAAUGAGCCAAAUGUCUAGUUGUUUCUUCAGCAUGCCUCCUACCACUAACUGUACAGCUGCAAUUGCCAGAGAACUGCUCAUGAAUGGAACAUCCCCAACUGCUGAAGCGAUAGGUCUAAAAGGAAUGUCACUCACCUCCCCUUGUUCCACAGUGCAACCUUCAAGGCAGCUGGAAUAUCUGGCAAGGAUCCAAGGCUUUCAGGUACACUACAGUGACAGACAAAAUGGAAAAGAGUGCAUGACCUGUUUGACACUGUCUCCUGUGCAGAUGACUUUCCAUGGUAUUGGAAGCACCACUGAAGACAGCCAUGAUCAGAGUUAAUGUCAACUGAUAAAUUAAAACGGUCACCAAAGUUGAUGUGGAUAGCUGCCAGAACAUGGGUUACCAUGCCACUAACAUCUCAGUUAUAGACUUCCCUCAAAAGAAAGUAAGGAAGAAUGUUUUCUCUUCCUAAAACGGCAAAAACAUUUUAAUUCCACAAGGAUUUUUAAAGACAAUUUUAUUGACACUCUUGUGUUUGUUUUAAAUGUUAUUCUGUAUUCUGUGUUGGUUUUAAAUGUUAUAUUAUGUGGGUUUUUAAUUGUCAUUAUCAAAUAUGUUUGUCAUUAUUGUGAAUUGCAAAGAAACGGAUGUGUGAAAUUGCUGAGACACUGUGUGCUGUGAAACUAAAUAAAAGGUAUUUUUAAUCCAAUAAUUAUUUUUUCAGCCUUGAUUCUUUUAAGAGCUCAUCAGAAAAUAGCUUGACUAAAAAGUGAAAUUGUUGAUUUUAUGCUUUUAUUCUAGAAACUGAAACCAUAAAAGUUGGAAAAGCUCUUGUACUUUUUAAUAGCUUCAGAAAAGAUAGAAAUAGUAGAAGUUGGCGGGAUGAUUUGCUUGUUUGUUGUAUUCUUCAGUUUUGAAGAAAAUGGAAGUUUCAGCAAAAUCCAACUGCCAACCCCCCUAUAAUUUGUGAUUGAUCUUUUCUUCUAUACAUCUAUCUAUUGAAAGGGAUAUUCUCCUCUGUGCUGAUCUGUGUGUUUAAUUUACUUAUCAUCCACUUCCCCCCUUCAUAUAAAUUUAUGUUUUCUUAUUGUCAACAACAAGUCUCCAGGAUGUUGACAUGGCUAUACACAAGAGAUGUCUGGGCAUACUAGUUGAGCAAUUCUGGAAACUGUAUACCAAAAAAGGAACUUUUUCAAGUUCAGUAAAUAGUUUGAGUAAAUUAUGGCCCAAAUGUCAAUUCUGCAGCUAACUGAUCUAAUCUCUGUGAGUUUAACCAGUUUUUCCUUUGCUCCGAGAAUUGCUCAAUUUUAGAAUUAUAUAAAUCUGUUCCACCCACAAAAACACAUGUAUCGUUUCCUUGAUCACUUAACAUUCCUAACAGUAGUUUGUGUUUUUGCCAUGUAAGAAAUAAUUGUUAUCUUGCCAAGAUGUUAUUUGUCAUACAGUUAUUUUUUUCUCCCACUUGUCACUCAACUAAAUUAUAUGCUCCCAUAUGAUAGGUUUAAACUGGACAAACAAGAUUGCAUAGUAUCUGGAUUAUACAAUCAUUUUGCAUUUUCUGGGUCUAGUUAUUAUGAUGUAGACAAGUUUCAAAGCCACACUUUAUUGUAAAAUUUAUCUACUCGGGUUUUAAGAUCAUUGUGAGGGACCCAUCUCUUGAUCCCACUGUUUUUAUAGGCAUGUCCGGUCAUGAUGCCUUUUUUGUUGACUACUCCCAAAUGGCUUUUGGGGGGCUGCUCGCCAGAUUCUGGAAUUUCCUUUCAUGAACAAAAGGUUGAAUACCUUUCUCUGGUUCUCUUUCCAGCAGGCAGACCCUUGCCAUGUAAGCUAGUGAGCUGUUUUGGAAGAAAUAGACUAUCUGGUUGGUUACUAGCUAAAACUUUUAUUAUUGUGGCUCUGAAUUACACUUAGACUUCUUUUUUACUUUUCACUCAUUUUAAUUUAUUUGUGUCUAUCUGGUGUUUUUGUCAAGAUCAUGUUUUAGUCCAUAUUUUGUUAAAAUUUGACAUCUUAAACACUUUUAUGAUCAAAAUGUAGGCUAUAAAUGAAAAAAUAAAAUAAACUUCAGACUGUAGUAAUACUAAAACAUUCUACUCUGGCCAAACCUACCACAUUAUAGUGCUGCAAUGCAAAUAAAUCAAAAUCACACAAUAUAGUUAAUGAUGUCCUUUAAUUGAUAUCGGAAAGUUAAGAAAGAAUAACUUAAAAAACUAACUUAAAAUAAGUUUAUUUUAAUUGCAGAGUGGUUUUAGAUUUUACAAACAGGUGGUCUGCAGACAUCAGUUUAUAACACUUAAAAAACCCGUCCCAUUUUUUUUACUAUUUCUCAUUUGUUACAUAGUCCAACAUCCUGUAUUUUAUUGUCUUCUUUGAGAAUCCCUUAUAAAUUUACUCGUAACUUCUUCAAAAUUUGUAUUUGUUAUCUUUGCUAUUAUUAAUGCCAUGUGCAUUGGAUCUUGUAAUUACUAUCUUCUGGUCAAAUACAAUUGCCAAUUCAAAUUAAAAUGUAAUAUGUGUGUGAAAUGGCAAACAAAAUCUACUCUUACUGAUAUUUCAGCAGUAAUAGAACUUCAGUGACCAAGUUCUCGCAGAACUUAGAAAGUUCUUGUUUGGACUACAAUUUUCCAGAACUCCCAAUCAGUAUAGUUAAUCAGUGAUGGUGGUUGUAAAAUUCUGUAGAGUUACAGUGUAACAAAGAAUAUUUACCAAGUUUACCAAACAAUUUUUCUCAAUAAAGUUAUUUUACAUAGUACUUUUCUGGUAAAAUGAAAUUCCACCUAGACAGAAGGAAAAUCCCUGAGUGAUUCAAAACAGGAAAACCUUUUCUAUAUCAUUCUUUCCUUGCCAUUCUGACAUAGGGGAAGAACUGAGAUUGCUCGGGAAGGGUAGUUUGAGUACAAGUUGUUCUACAGUUUCUAAUACCUGGUCAUUAGAGAAGUUGCUAAGAGAUUUCUCAUGCCAACAUAAUUUAGAGCCUCAUAAUUUAGCCUGAUGUUUAAAAUUAAACUGGGGGUGGAUGGCCUCACUGCAGGAGAAGCAGACAGAUGGUUUAAAGCCUUCAGCUUCCCCUCCAAACCAGCCCCCUCGUGUUUUGUGCUGUCAGAGUUUCUGAUAAGUCUAGCUGCUAACACUGUUGUCAUAACAAAAUAGUUUGCCAUUCAUUAAAGCACUGUCUCAUACCUAGUCUAUCUUUUGGUUUUAUUGCCCAAAACAAUGAUAAUACAGCAGCAGCAGCAAUAACUGACAAGAGUGUGUGACCCAUGUACCCCCAAUACAAACAAUUAGUGUAUCCUAGCCCAUAUAUUUAUUUAUUUGUUUGUUUGUUUAUUUAUAACAUUUAUACCCCGCCCUUCUCACCCGAGGGGACUCAGGGCGGCUUACAAAAAUUGGCAAAAUUUAAUGCCCAAAGAAUACAAUCAUAAAAGCAAAACAAUACAUAUAGAUCCGUUAAUAAAUUUGUUAAAAUACAUUAUAAAACCUUAAAAACAUAUAUAUUAAUUAAUUCCAUUCGUCCAAGAUCCUCAUGCUUCAUCCUUAAAUCAGGCCAAUAUAUCCUCAUACCUCGCAAAUAAGUGAGGUGUUAAAGGAGUACAACAACUGCCUGUGCUGUUGUUUAUCUCUGUGUGUGUCCCUGGGCAGAUCUACCUUGACCACUUAUCCUAGAGAAGAUCCACAUGAUGUAAGCUGGAUCGGUCCUUGGAUGGUUUACACAGCUACAGAAGUGGGAAGGAGUCAUCACUGCUCAAUGGUGAUGAACCCAGUUCAACACUGCUGGAUGGCCACCUUUCCCCUCCCCUCCCAUUCUCCUUGUUGUAGCAGUAUCCAGGUGCAUCAUGGGUCCUACCGACUGGUUGUUCCUUGGAGUGACAUCGGCCAGGGUGCCAGAAUAACAGAAGAGGGGAGAAAGGAGGCAUUGCCUCCUCUCUCCCCUCACUUCUCUGAUCUCUUUGUCAUUCCAACCAACUUCAUUCCAGGCGGCAAACAACUAGCAGCACGCACGUUGCACCUGGAGACCGCUACGACAAGGAUAGCAGGAGGGGAUGGUACCAUUCUGUGUCCCUGUGCUGUCCAAGCCCAGAAAACAUAGAACAGUCAUGUAAACCAUUCCACUGGUCCCAUUGUGUACCUGCACUCAAAUUGUGGUGGCUCAAAAUUCUGCCCCAAAUUCUGUGUAUUAAACCAAAUCAGUUCUAUGUGUAGUUUGACUCCAUGGAGCUGAUUCGAGCACCCUUUGCGCUAAGUGAUCAGUGUAGAUUUGCCUCCUGUUGCAGGUCUUCCAUAUGGCAGUGCGCUCCUUUUUUGUGAACCUUAUGAGGGCACAAACUUUGACAGAACAAAUUUAGCACAUGUUUAUGCAGACAAGCCAUAAACAUUGAUUUCAAUGUUUUAGCAGCAGGACACCACUCAAGAAGGCUGAUGCACAUUAGGGAAAUUGAGGAAAUUUCCCAACAGCAGAAUGUGUUUGUGGUGUAGAGGACAUUUAAAGAUGGCCAAUUGAAGUUACAAGAGAUUUCAUUUGAAAAUUGUUGAUAAAUCAUAAAUUAACCAGUCACUAGACCCUGAUAACUUAGAUCUGAGAAUUCUUCAGAUGUGAAACAAUGAUCUAGUAUCAUGGAAGUAGAGAUCCAGCAUGACUGAGUGUUGGGCAGUGACUCUGAAAACAGUGGUUGAAAUCUCCACUCAGCCACAGAAAAAGUUCUCAACACAAUGUGAAUGUGGCUGUGGAAAGUGAAAAAUUACAAACCCAUGGUCAUUUUCCUUAUUUUUUCCAAUAGUUAAAGAACACGUGUUUCAGCGGCUUUCUCAAUUCGAUCAUCAGCUCAGCAUGCAAUAUCAUAAAAGAAAGAUUAAUUGCAUGCUAAAGAUUCUUACUUACUUAGACGAUCCCUCGUAGGGAAGUCAUAGGGAGGAGGGAGCAAGCUUGUUUUCUGCUGCCCUGCAGACUAGGACACGGAACAAUGGCUUCAAACUACAGGAAAGAAGAUUCCACCUGAACAUUAGGAAGAACUUUCUCACAGUGAGGGCUGUUCGGCAGUGGAACUCUCUCCCCCGGACUGUGGUGGAGGCUCCUUCUUUGGAGGCUUUUAAACAGAGGCUGGAUGGCCAUCUGUCGGGGAUGCUAUGAAUGUGAUUUCCUGCUUCUUGGCAGGGGGUUGGACUGGAUGGCCCAUGAGGUCUCUUCCAACUCUACUAUUCUAUGAUUCUAGGCCGAGGAUGAUGGUCCUCCAUUUGUGGGGUCUUGGGGGUGGGUCCGUAGGUGGCUGAAGAGACCUAUACUUGAUCCGCAUGUUCUCCCGUAAUGAGGACAUCGGUUUCCAGGUGGAAGGUGGUCCCAGUCAGAGUUGGCUUGAUGCUCCUUCCUCUUGGCACGUUUCUCCCUUAAGCCCUCCAUUCGUGCCUCUUCGAACUCCGCAGCACUGCUGGUCACAGCUGACCUCCAAUUAGAGCGCUCAAGGGACAGGGCUUCCCAGUUUUCAGUGUCUAUGCCACAGUUUUUAAGGUUGGCUUUAAGCCCAUCUUUAAAUCUCUAUUCCUGCCCACCAACAUUUCGUUUUCUAUUCUUGAGUUGGGAGUAGAGUAACUGCUUUGGGAGACGGUGAUCAGACAUUCGGACAACGUGGCCAGUCCAGCGGAGUUGAUGGCAUAGGAGCAUCGCUUCAGUGCUGGUGGUCUUUGCUUCUUCCAGCACGCUGACAUUUGUCCGCCUGUCUUCCCAAGCAAUUUGCAGGAUUUUUCUGAGGCAAAGGUGAUGGAAACGCUCUAGGAGUUGAGUGUGACGUCUGUAGACCGUCCACGUUUCGCAGGCGUAGAGCAGGGUUAGGAGGACAAUAGUUUUAUAAACAAGCACCUUGGUAUCUCUACGGAUGUCCCGAUCAUCAAACACUCUCUGCUUCAUUCUGAAAAAUGCUGCACUCGCAGAGCUUAAGCAGUGUUGUAUUUCAGUGUCAAUGUUGACUUUUUGGAGAGGUGGCUGCCAAGGUAGCGGAAAUGGUCAACGUUUUCUAAUGUGACACCAUUAAGCUGUAUUCCUGGCAACACAGAGGGGUUUGCUGGUGCCUGUUUGAAGAGCACUUUAGUUUUCUCAAUGUUCAAUGAGAGGCCAAGUUUCUUGUAUGCUUCUGCGAAGGUGUUUAGAGUGGCUUGCAGGUCUUCUUCUGAAUGCGCACAGACUACAUUGUCUUCGGCAUAUUGGAGUUCUAUAAUAGAUGUUAUGGUGACCUUGGUUUUGGCUUUUAAUCUGCUGAGGUUAAAUAGCUUGCCAUCUGUCCGAUAGAUAAUUUCCACUCUGGUGGGAAGCUUCCCAUCAACAUGGUGAAAUAUCAUAGCGAUGAAGACGGAAAGUAAGGUAGGGGCAAUAACACAUCCCUGCUUGACACCUGAUUCCACCUUAAAUGGGUCACUUUGGGAGCCGUUGCUGUCCAAGACUGUUGCCAUCAUGUCAUCAUGGAGGAGCCGCAGGAUGUUCACAAAUUUGUCAGGGCACCCGAUUUUUUGGAGGAUGGUCCAGAGAGCACUGUGAUUCACUAUGUCAAAUGCCUUUGCAAGGUCAAUGAAUGCUAUGUACAGAGGUUGGUUUUGUUCCCUGAAUUUUUCUUGGAGCUGUCGUGCAGUGAAGAUCAUGUCCACUGUUCCUCUGGAGGGGCGGAAGCCAUUCUGGGAUUCUGGGAGGGUGUCUUCUGAAACAGGGAGAAGGCGGUUUGCAAGGAUUCUUGCGAGAAUUUUCCCAGCGGAGGUUAGAAGGGAGAUACUGCGAUAGUUCCCACAGUCUGUUCUAUCCCCUUAAUUUAAAAGGGUGAUGAUGUUGGCAUCCUUGAAGUCUGCUGGGAUUUUCUCGGUCACCCACCCCUUUUCAAUGAGCUGGUGGAGUUGUUGUAUCAGCUCAGGUCCACUCUCUUUGAAGAUUUCAGCAGGGAUCCCAUCGGGUCUUCUGACUUUGUUAUUUUUUUGUUGGCUGAUGGCAUUGCUGACUUCUUCCAAACUAGGCAAUGCUGCAAGCUCAUCCCUGGUUUGUUGUAGCGGGAUUUGUGAGAGGGCCUCUUCGGCCACAUUGGGGCUGCCAUUCAGAAGGUUCUGGUAGUGCUCUUUCCAACGUAGUGCAAUUGAUGUUUUGUCCUUCAGAAGUUUGGUUCCAUCUGAUGAGCGUAGAGGCUGUAUGCCAUGGUUUCUUGGUCCGUAGAUGAUCUUUGUGGCUUUGAAAAAUCCCUGAGCAUCAUGGGUAUCUGCAAAGUGUUGGAUUUCUUCAGCCUUCUUUGUCCACCAGAUGUUCUUGAGUUCUCUGGUCCUUCUUUGGACCUCAGCUUUUGCACUAGUGUAUGUCUUUUUCUUAGCAGCACAGCUGGUGUCUCUCUGCCAUGUUUGGAAGGCUUUCCUUUUGUUAUCAAUUAACUGCUGGAUCUCUUUGUCAUUAUUGUCAAACCAGUCUUGAUGUUUCUUAGUUUGAUAUCCAAUGGUUUCUUCACAGGCUGUGAUAAUAGAGGUCUUCAGUUUGUCCCAGUGUUCCUCAAUGUUUUCAGCGUGUUCUAUGGGUAGAUGAUCCUUGAGUGUUGUUUGAAGAAGGGCUCGUUUGGAGGGCUCCUGAAGGGCUUGGGUGUUUCAUUUUACGCCUUAUUUUUCACACAUAUCACAAUAUCGGCAUUAUGAGGUCUUUAGCUGAUAUAAUAAAUUUACUUUUGGAAUAAUGUACAGUUUUCAUUGCUCAGCAAAGAAAAAGAAUAUCAUGGAGCCAAAAAAAGCAACCAAGAUUUUAUCAUAUCUGUAUUUGGAAUUCCUGGUUAAAUUAAGACUGCCAUAUCUUGAUAUUUACUGACUCACAUAGUACAAAGGGGUUAACAAAGGAUUUUUAAUUUACCUUCAAAACAUUUUGAAUAUCUAUUACACUGGUCAACACACAUUUUGGUUCCUCAAAUGUUACACAUGUUUUGGGGUUUAUUUGACCUGAUUUCAGAAAUGGCAGCAGUUUCCUCUAUCAGGUCUAGUUUUUGAGAUACAUAGCAUAUGCCAUAUAACUCUUCAUCUCCUCACCUAUAAUAAUCUUGAUAGCCAUAGCUAAGAAACAGGAGCUGAUGCAGUCUGCAAUAUUCUGAAUCAGCACUCUAAAUAACCUGAGGAAUAAGACUAAAAACCAAGACACCAAUAAUUAUUUUUGUUGGGCUGUGUAAUCUAUUAUGACAUUUCAUUGUGCAAUAGAUAGUGAUAGUAAAGUAUGGAAUUCCAAAAUAAAUUAUGCAAUUGCCUUGUUCUGUUUGUUCAUAUGAGAAGAAAAUAGAAUGCAAACCAUUUUCCAUUUGUUCUAAUUGUUAGGAAAUGUACCCGUUGCUAUUUAGGCUCCCUUUUCUUUUUUAUUUAUGUGGACUACAUGGAAAGAUAAUUUAAUACUUUUUCCUACGUAUUUUUCCCCUUUACUGAGUAUUAUGUUUUCCUUUGGAACAGAAAUAUUUUGCUCUCAAACCUUUUAGUUUAUUUUUUUCUGGUUUUAUUUAUGGUGGUGAGUUGGAUCACACAUGCAUACCAGCUGACUUUUCCCUCUCAUAGGAUUCUUCUUGUACGAAACCAUCUGUAGCCAUUUUUUUUGUAAUCAUGGCAGCUAUACUUAAAGUGGCACAGUGUUUGUCAAAAUAGCAAUAGGGUGUAUCUGUAUAUGGUUAUGUACAGUUGGGAUUUAUUGUAUACAGUCUCACACACUGUGAUUAUAGAUUUUCACAAACCAGUAACAUGUAUUUUUACUGCUUUUCUCAUUAGUUCUUCCUUCUCAAGGAAGAGCAGCAUGCCUUCAGAAGCGUAUAAUUUAAAAUGGUAUAUUUAAGGGAAAGUUUGUAGAUGACAGCCAUAGCACCCAUUGUAUCUUACAAUAUAAUUACAGUGUGGCUGAAAAGAAGGCGGUUGUCUAAAGGUCCAUCUACACUGUUGAACUAAUGCAGUUUGACACUAUUUUAACUGCUAUGGUUCAAUGCUAUGGAAUCCUAGGAUUUCUUCUUUGGUGAAAGACAUAGAUGUCAACAGAAUUUCAUGCUAUAAUAAACUUAUUGGACUCAGACCCCAGAUUCGGUUGCUUUUGUUAUGGCAUUUACCCCUUGAGAAAUUGUUAAGAUUGUUUCUGAUAUCUUUUCUUAAACACUUCCGGUAAGGUAGACACCCCAAUGAGCCAUAAAACCUUGAAAUUGGCUCUAACAUUGAACGACUGAACAGCGGACAGAAAAAGAUUUUAUAUCAUAGAUAUCAUUAGAUCAGCUCUUAGGUAUUGCUCUUGCGAUCCUAAAAUAGUCUUUUCAUCAGAAAUGAUUCACUGCUCAGACUUUGAAUCCAAUACUCAAAUGCAUUAAUAAUUCGUCCUUGAAAAUUCUCAGAGCAUUUUUGUAUGCAUAAUAUUUGUGAGGAUUGACUUUUUGAAUACAUUAUGGCAUGCAGCAGUUGGCAACUUCACACCUGUUGAAGUGUGAUGUCAAGCCAGAUUUCAUGAGGCUAGAGAUGCUGCUUUUGGAACUUCUGGUAUAUUCUGGUAAAGCUUGCAACAAAUAGAAGGAAUCUCCUGGUUCUUUGUGAUCCUAAGAGGAAAUUGUAACCCUUUAAUAUAGUUUUUAAAAUAUUCUUAUCCUUGGAGUAAGCAUACCCAGCCUUACUUUUGGGCUUUUAUAACCCCUGCUAGUAAAAUUAGUUGUCCUGGAUAGAGAUUUGGAAAAAUUCAUCUACAGCAGGGAUGGGAAUUGUGUAGCCUGACUACAGUGUUGGGGUCUUCAGUGGUGUCUAGGGGAUCCCCACUAAUCCUGUCCCAAACCCCCAGCACCCCUCAGAAGGAAUUGGCCCCACAGUGUGUUUUAUCUGAAAGGAACUCUCGGGAAGAAACAACUUUAAAACAAUAUAAUAUGCUAUUCCACCCAAACAUCAGAAAAUAUUCCUCAGUGGCCUCAAAGAUGAUCAGGUGACACAUCACCAAAUGGUAAACAUGAUGGCACAUGUAUGGCUCUUCAAAUCUCUGGAGUGGCUAAAAUCAGCCUUCAGAUAGGACAAUGUCAUCUUUAAAACAUGGUGUAUGCCCUACCCAUUCUACCAUAACUAUAUUGAUUAUCUACUUAUUCAUUUACUUAUUUGUUAUGUAAAUGCUCCCCCCCCCCCCUCAACUAUUCUCUUGCCGGACUUAUUUCACACAUUCCUUGUUUAAUAGGUCAUGCUGAUAGUGGGUAGCCAAGGUCAUCCAGUGAGUUUCAUGGCUUGGUGGAGGAUUGAAAUUGGAUGUCCAAGCCCCAAUGCAAUGCACUAACCACUGAAGUGCAUUAGAAGUUUUGUUGAAUUUUCUAAUCAUCAUGUUAUCCCUAGGCAGAAAUGCAACACAUUACCAUAACAGUGGGUCCAUGGAAGGAUGUUGAGCCCUUUGCAUUCUUUCCUAUUAUUACUUCCAUAUAAGGUGUGCAUUGACCAAAAUGCUUUUUAAAUUAGUUUAGAGUAAGGGUAGGCAGCUGUGUCCAGGGGCAGAAAUCCAUUUUACAUAUGUACUGCACACAAGUGAACCUCAUUGUAUCAACUUUCAAAAAUUAGAGGUAAUGUUUUUUCAGUCAUUUUAAUCCUUUGGGCACUUUCUUUUUGGUUGAUAAACAGACUCAAAAAAAUUAAGUUAGGCCAGGGUUCUUCUUGGCAACUGACUAUGAAAAAUGGGAUUGGGACCUGCAUAUGAGACACAGGGACACUCCUUCUCCACCCUAGUUUAGAGUAUUUGUAUACUAAAGCAGUUACACUGAAUUUGAUAUAAGUCUGUUUGCAUAAGUUCUUACUAGGCAUUUAGCCUAGGAUAAAUCAAAAUCAGCCCUGACUCUGUCUCUUUUUUCUCAUCUCAUGCAAACACAAAUGUUUUCUUUAAUAAUAAUCAUUUAAAAAAACCAACCUCCCAUACCCACAAUCCUUAAAAUGUUCUGCUAGAGUGCGUUUUCCUAUUCAGGGAAAUAUAAAAUAAAUAUAAAUUCCUCACCAGAACGCCUCAUGUUCCACUACUUUCAGUCAUAAGAGGGCAACAAGAUUACACAUCUUUAGGUUCUCCAGUGGUGCAUUAACUAAACAAAAAAGACAACUUUACUUGUUUGGGAAGCUUUAUUAGAGAAGGAAUCUUUGAAGACCCCUCACACAAAAGAUUCUCCUAUGUUUAGACUUUAUAAUGUAAACAACUAAUUUAAUGCAUCACUAAUGAUCUACAAUAGAUGCCAUCUUACUACAUGACCGCAAGUAAGAAACUGAUGUAAUCUGAGAGAUAUUUCAAAGUAAUUAAUUUGGGAAUAGGAAAAGAACUUCUAUUGUGUAAACUUUCCUGCCUUCCCCCAACCCCCUUUUGAAAAAGAACACAAUUAGAAGCUGUAAUAGUGGUGCAUUUGCUCAAUAAAGGUACCAAGCCAUCAUACCCAUUGAUUACUAAAGUAUAAAGUGCAAAAAAAAUAUUAUGGCACAAUUGUUGCGGGUUGGUUUUUAUUUAAAUCUACCACUUAUUUGAAUUUUUAUUCUGAAAUAAUGACUACAUACUUUAACAUUUCUUUCAAACUAACAUUCUUUCCCUCCAUUAUUUUUAAUAGUAAAAGUGCAUUGUAAUAACAUCUCUGUAAUUGUCACAGAGACGUUUGUUGGCUUCUUUCCGUAUUUAUUAAAAUAGUUUGUUUUGCUUAAAAAAAAUCUAAUAACAUCUUAAAAGUAAUGUUUCUUUUUGGCACUUCUCCCUGUCCUUAAAUUUAUGUAUUAUGUUUCAUUUUCUAUUAUGUAGUACAUUAAUUUCCCUUCCUGGCCAUGUUUCCAGUACUCUUUCUGUACAUGUUCAGAAACAAGGACUUGUCCAAAUUCCAACUUUCACCCUGCUAUUUUUUUUAAUGAAACUGUUUAGGACAUAUUUUCAAGUGACUCUCCGGCUCAUAUAGGCUACAAUUCCUGGGAUUGAUUGGGUAGAGGGCUUGUUUGCCUUCCCUUUCCCAUUCCAGAACAUCUUUUCAAGCUGCUCACAUUCAACUCAAUUUACUAGUAGCUAUAUUCCCUCCAGUAGUGCUUAUGCAGUGCCAUCUUCUGAGAAAUCUUUAAUCUGUGCAAGACUUACAGCCUGCAAGUAUUAGAGAUACUCCUCUUCUGAGAAGCAAACUCUUUCCUCUUAACUUUGAAUAUGUUUUAAUGGAUUUUAACUGUGAAUUUUAAAACACUGUUUAUAUUUAAUUUUGUUUUAAUGUUUGCUUAUUUGUAUAUUUUAUAUUGUAUCCUAAUGCUUUUAUGUUAAGAGAGAUAAAGCAGGGUAUAAAUAAAUAUAAUAAUAAAUAAUAAUCCAAUCCUGUUGACUUUCUUUGCCCUGUUCACAUCUUCAAGCAAUAGAUGCAAUUACAGGGAGAAAUGAGUCUGUAGUUGCAUGGAAAUAAGAAUCUCCAAAAUCAUAAACAAUAGGGGCUUUUAAAGAAAAAUAGAGUUGAAGCAUAAUUUCUUUGGCCAGUGAACAUAUUGAGUAGAACCUGAAUUUCCCAUUUAUCUCCAACUUACCGGAUACUGCAAGUUUUAUAAGUGCUAUAAAGGUUUUCUAAAUCAAUCCUCUACAUUAAGAAGAUUUAGGAUGAUGUUAGUGAUGAAUCUUUUGAGGAAGAAAAUCAAUUGCAUUUACUUGCUACGCAAAAUAGCCAAGUAUGUUCUCUGUGUGCUUAAAUAUAAGCCAUAGAAGAAGUAAGUAAUAAGCCUAAAGUGAUUUGAUGAAUAUAAUGGUUGUCUGCAACAUAUAUUGUUGCUAUUUUAAUAUAAUUUGAGAUCACUUUAACUGCUAUGGCUCAUUUAAAGUGGAAUCCUGGGAUUUGUAGUUUGUUCAGACCACGGCACUCUUUGGAGAAAAGGCUGGCCAUGAUUUAUUUUUUUUUACAACUUUGAGCCAUUGAAGUUAAAGUGUUGUCAAACUCUAUUCAUCUAUAGUGCAGAUACACCCUAAGUUGCAAAUAAAAGUGAUUUGUUUUUAAUCAGUGAGGAAUUUGUUCAUGUUUCUCUUCUUACUGAUUCUAUCUUGAAUGUGGUGUUCAUUGCUUUAUUUAUCCUAUCUAUGAGAGUUUUUGGAUAGAAGUUUGAGAAUUGGGCAAAAGUUCCUUUUCUCAUUUAUGUUUGGCACUAGACCUCUAGUAAUAUAGAUUUAUAAAGACAAAGGCACAUGUAAGAAUUGAAUAACUUUAGGGUUCCCAAUCUGUGAAGUUGGUAUUUAGAGUACACAGGGAACUGUUGGGGCAAGGGGGAACUCGCUGUUUCUGUCAGAGGCGUUAAAAUCCAAUGGGAACUGCAUGUGGGAGUCUUCCUGAUUGGAGUCUUCCCAUGAUAACUUGCUUUUGGACAAUGGAUGUUAGAGGAGUUUCAGCCUACAGGGAAUUCCUAUCAUGAAAAGCCAUCCGUAUAUGGACUAGUCAAGGGACUUUAAAAUAUUAUGAGAAAAGGAAGCAAGGUUUUAAAAUCUUACCCUGGCUUUAAAGGGAGCCAGGAGAUAUACAAUAUAUAUUUAUAACAGUGUCUUCAUUAAGAGAACACAUGUAGUUCUUGUUUCUUCUGGUCUGGGAUGCAAAGAUCCACUUUGAUUGUGCCCAAGAGUUUUUGCAUGUUUUUGCAUUGCAUCCCAUUACAGUGGGCCAUUGGUAUCUGGUGGGAUGUAGUUCCAUGGAUAUUCAAGCCCAUGUAGAUGGCCUAAGUUGAUGUUAAUACUCCAAUUUAAACCAAUGGUUUGUUUGAAAGAAAACUUAAAGUUACCCCUUUUCAUUAAAAGAAAUUCAAUGUGAUUCUUGAAUUUAAGUAGUUGCUAACAUGGUAUACCCCAAAAUGCUUUUGAGACUCCUAUUUGGAUUGUGGUAUUAAUAGCUACAGUUCAAGAAAUAGAAGUCCAAACACACAGUUCUUUAAACUAUAACUGAAGUAAACCAUUUAAUAAGGGUUAUUUCCAUCUGAUAAGAAUGAUAGUAGCAUGACGUGUUUUGUGUUCCUUGCUUCCCAUUGCUUCCCUUCACUUCAGUGGUUUUCUUAAACCCCCCUCUCAACAUUCAGCUUUCCAUAAGCAUUGAGAGUAGCCACUGAGGUAUGGGGUGUGGUGGGGUCCUCCACACAUAGAUUACUCCCUCCCCACUCCAAAAAAUAUUUUUUUGUAGAAUUUGAUUUGUUGAUAGGUCUUCCCAAUGCACUAUGGACUAUGCAUUUAUUCCAUCAGCUAUCAUGUAUUACAGCAUACUACUGGCAGUUCUGUCUAUACAAUUCCAUAAGAGUUGUUAUUUUGGAAAGCAAUGCUCCAUUUGCCUCUAGUGUUAUCCUAUUGUAUUAUAAUAUUAAAAUAUGAACGGAUACUUGUAUUUGGUGGGAAAUUUUGAUUGUAUAAUCCUUUGUUCUGCUAAUUCAAGUUAAAAUGCCAAUGGCAUAUACAGGUUCAUGAAGAUAUGGAUAAUAUUUAAACGAGUCUUUUUGCUGAGGUAACAUGUCAUAAGUUUUUAAACCAAGAAUGAUAGGAGCUACUGCUGCACUUUCAUGUUCAGUAGCAUGGAAAAAAAAUUACACUACAGCUGGAAUGAUCAAACUGAACUAAUUUUGCAUUCUAGUUCUGCUUGACAGGACACUCAGAGGCACUUGGAAAUUAUUAAGCUCUGCAGUGUGUUCAGUGGAUUUAACUUCCUCAGGAAGAUGGUUUUAUAAAAGGUUUUACAAUGUGAAAAUUUUACAGCAAAAUUUGAGACCCUUGAUUUGUUUUUAAUUUCAUGUACAUGGUUUACAAAUUAGUAUCCUUAGUUUUUAAAAUAAUUAAUCCACAAUGUGGUGUCACAUACAUAUUUCUGUCAUUGAUGCAAACAUUUUUUUUACAAGUGAGAAGACAGUUUAUAUAUUAAAAUUAAGGGAGUUUUUUUCCUUUUAAAUUGUUAGAUUUUAUUUUAUGUAUUUUUAAUGAAUUAAUGCAAACUGGCAUUCUAUCUUUGGGGUAUAUGCAUUACUCCAACAUCAGUUUUCUAAAAUAAUAAUAAUAAUAACUCAAUAGUUCUCUUACUAUUCAGACAAGCCCAGCCUUGUUAAUUCUCCAUAUUUGGGAAUAGUGUCUUGAGUGGCAGAACUUAAAUGUGUUAAUUCAUAUACUAAUUUAUAUUUUGUAUUGGGAUGAAAACAGACACAGCAUGACAAGCUUUGCAAGAUUCGGUGGCAGAAAGCCUUAAUGGACCGAGGCAGAGCUAUAUAACUUAUAAAACACUGUUCUUUCUUUUUAAGACUUUGAUUUUUAUGUAGGGUAGCUUGGAGUAUGUGAUGCUUGGCAGCCAUUUCUUUUCAUAUAUGAAGUGGCAGUGGAGUGUUUUGAACAAUCUCUAAUUACUUUUGCAAAGUCAGCUUGACCCUUUAUGAAAAACGGUUAUUUUCCCCAGGGAAAAAAUCCGCAAGUUGUUUAUAUAAUGAGACCUACUAACUGAUAGUUUUUGUUCAAGAUAACAUUAUUUUGCCCUACAAUUUUGUUUAGAUCAAGUUUGUAUAACUUCAUACCAAGGGUUGGAACUUGCAUGACUGAAUAUUCCUUAGUUCUAGAAAUUUUCUCUAAUUAGAAGACUAAGGGUCAGGGGAAAGGACUCUGCCUAGUUUUCUGUGCAAAAGAGUUUGGUCUAUUUUCUUAUUAGAAGAGUAAUGUUUUGUGAAUUCUGAAGUAGUUCCAAUAGCUGUACUGACCACUAUUAAACACAUUGAGGAACCACAGAUGCUGAGGAACUGGGAACAGUGGUAAGAUGUGAAAGAACACAAUUCUACAUGCCAUGUAGCCCAUCCUGUAUUCCCUAUCUCAGUGCAUCUCAAGCUAUCUGAUGUGAGUGAUCAGCAGAAUUUUCCCUUUAAUGUGCCUGUACCAUAUUUGUGAAUAUGAUGUACAGUUAUAUCUUUGUUCUAUAAAUUUGCCAAGGACUGGUAGCCAGUGGCUCAUGGAAGGUCACUGGUCUGUGGAUUACCAUGUUGAGUAACACUGCUGUAAAUUAGACAGCUGCACUUGGGUUCAGUACACGACAUCAUCCCAUUAGUAGUGUCAAAAUGAGAUUCAUAUCCCAGUCUGAUCUGUUUAUUUAUAUGGAACUAGCUGUGCCCGGCCACGCGUUGCUGUGGCAAAGUGGUGGUGGUAUUGGUUAAAAAUUGUUGUGUAAUUUUUAUUUGAUGUUAUUUGCAAUUUUUUAUUAAUUUUAUUGUAAGUUAUAUUUUUAUUUAUUAUAUUUUAUUAUUUUCUUGUAUUAUUUUUAAUUAUUUUAUGUUAUUAUAGUAUUUUAUUGUAUUAAUUUUUAGUGUUUUUUAUUAUUUUUAUUGGGUUGCUAGGAGACCAAGUUGGAGGAGCUUAGCCUUCUAACUGGCAGCAAUUGGAUAAAAGCAAUUAUUCCUCUCUCUCAAAUUAGGACUUUAUUUUUCUUUUCUUUUUGUUGUAUCAACCUGGACGCGUGGAUGAUGGGUUGUGUUGUCAAAUUUCGAGGUUGGGGGGCCUGUAGUUUUGUUGUUUUGUGGGUCGCCAUGAUGCCAUCACUCUUUUAUAUAUAUAGAUAGGAUGGGUGCCAUCUUGCCCUUGGCUUCACACAGCAAAACUAUCUUUGGCCAGCCCUGACAUUAGUAAGAAUAAGGCUCAAAUACAAAAGUAUAAAGAGGAGUGUAUUAUGCUUGUGUCUUUGAGCAGUAAUCACUAACUAAACCGCAUUAAGCCCUUCAAAACUAGAAACUGUUGUACCUCAUAAACGGAGAACAGUAGCCUUACAGUGGCUGCUUUAAUCCGGAGUUACAACUAGCUGAUUUAACAGCUUAUGCAGCCAUUCUUUUGGUGCAUUCACAUUCACUCUGCUCAUAUGAGUCAUGAAAUCUAAUAUAUUUACGAAAGCUUUUGGCUUAUAAAGGGCAACACAGAGUAGGCACGUGUUGUGGUAGGAAAGCUUCUUGGGAAUGAUUGAGAAACCUGUUGAGAAAAUAGGCAACUAUUGACAGGUCUGAUUCAUGACUGAGUGACUGUUCUGCUAGUCUUCACAUGAUCCCCACAGAGAGAAAGCUUUGACCACCUGCUAAACAAGGUCUGUUUGAAGUUUCUUUUUAACAUUUCCAAGACGUUAAUUCAGCAGGACAGCUCCACUGGGGUUCUCAGUGUCACCAAAUCAGCAGCUGUUGAGGUCCAUUCACUUCAGCAUGAAAUGUUUGUAGAAGGGUUCCUUCCCCCGCCCCCCAUUUAUUUUAUUUGUGACAACAGAAAAAUAAAUAGGAAAGUGAAAUGUUUGCAUUAUUUGGUUUUUACACAUGUGUAAUCUCCUUCUAAUUAGCAUUGUUACUGGUGGCAAUGUUGUUCAUAUGAUGCACUCAGGAACCAGAUUGCAAAGAAAUUACUUUCCUCAUUUGCUUUUGCUGGAUUUUUGUUUUGCUGCAUUUUUAUAUUGCUGUUUUCAAUAAUACUUUAAUACCCACAGUAGAGGAGAGUGGGAAUAAAAUGAAACCUGUUACAACACAAUUCUAUACAUGUUUGCUCAGGCGUAAGACUCAUCAAGUUUAAUGAAACUUAUUCUCAGGUAACUGUGUAUAAGAUGGCAGCCUGAACCAGUUAAAGAAAGUUAUACUAAGAAAAAAGAUCUCCCCUGUUUUAUUAUCUCGUUUAUCAGUAAAAUACUGUUGGGGAGGAUGGGGCAACACAUCUGUGUCCUCAAAGCCUUUGAUAUUUAAGUGCUUUUAUUUCUUAGAUAUAACUGUCAGUAGUAAAUAAGAACCCUAUACUUCUACAUCAGGAGACUUGUUUUUAAUCUUAGGUAAUAUAACCACAUAAAUACUCUUGGUACAACCUAUUUUCUUUUCUCUUUAUCAAUCUUGUUAAGUCUUAAGUGUAUUUUUACAAGUUGUUUAAUGCGUUCCAUUCUUUCUGGUGUGUUUUUCCUCCCCAAUAUUAUCAGAUUUCAUUAUAUGGGAAGAAUUAUCAGCUCAACCCAUUAUACAGCAAAGCAGUAUUAAGUCUGUCUGGAAUUUGCUGCUCUUUCAGUUUACAGGGGAAAUAUUGUGUACAUCAAGCUCUCCAGUUUCAGUGGGAGGCACAGGGUUGAACAGCAUCCAUUUGUCAAAUUGAUUGCUCCUCAGUGAGGUUGCCUUUGCUUGUCUUUGAACAGGAGUGAAAUCCUAUGUGAAGCUCCCUUUCUGUCAUUUACACUAACAUCCAUCCUCUUAAACCAAGGCCUCAGAGAAAAAACAAAGUGUUGGCACAAUAUAAUCAGUCACUCAAGUUGUCUGUCAUCUGUUUUCUUAAAGGAAAUGACUUUUAAGUUAGUGGAGCAGAAAAUUGUGGAAAAUUGGGAAUGGAGCUGCAAUGAGAGGAGGAGGAAUUUAAACAUAAAGAAAAGACAUCCUGUCCACUUCUAAUUUUUCAGAAUCUGUUCUUUGUUACUGUAACUAGAGAAUAUUAAUUUAGCUGCUGGUUUGCUUUAACAUCCUUAGCAUGUUAAACAGUUUGAAAUGUAAAUAAUUAUUUAUUCAAGUUUUACUGCAAUGAGUUGAUGUUAGUUGUACAUCUCCUUUUUAAAAAUUCUUUUAUGUCUCCCCCCCCCCCUUUUUUUUUUAGACAUACUCUUGCCUAAAACAGCUAAUCCUGGAUACUUUUGGCUUAUUCAGACAAUUAGAGCUAAUUACUUAUUAAGAGUGUAGUAUGCAGCUUAAAGUUAAUUUCUUUCUUAUUCAUGUUAACCAUGUGAGACCUGAUCUAAAUCAGGCCAGCUGUGCAUGGAAAAGGAGGAUUAGCUCACCAUCACCACCAGAAGUGACUUGGUGCAAGUUGCUCCUGACACGGAAAAAAAAAACACCUUAAAAAAAAGUUUAGAAUUUCCCCAAAUGGGAUAAAAAGGGAUGGUUAAGAAACCGCUAUAAUUUCAAUUCUGCAAAAUGGAUUUUACAAAGUCCUAUAAAUUAUUUUCUGAUCCCAAUAGUCUUGUAUGUAUCACAUAUAAAAUUUGAAUGAGUACAGUUGUUAAAACUGAGCCAAGGAGCUCAGCACCCUCAUUCAUUUUUAGAUACCUGCCCAUCGUAUCCCGGGGACUGAGGACAUAGCAUAUUUUACAGUUAACGUGUCAAGUCAACACAUGAAAAUCUUUGUGCCUCUCAGAAGGGAGAGUAAAGCUAUCACCAUUAUCUUCCUCGAAAUGAUGACCAAGUCCUUGGAAGGCUGAGAAUCCAAAAUUUUAUGUUGGCUAAAAGAUGUAAUUAACUGACUUAAUUGGUGCAUAUAUGUAAUUGUAAAAGUUUGUGAUUUAAUAUAAUACAUUACCCUUGCUUAUUAUAAUUUUAGGUUCUGUUAUUGAUUUUGUAGCCUGUUUUUUUUUAAAAAAAAACCCUAUAAUCUAAAAGACAUACUAGGUUUCUGGGGUUUUUUAAAAAAUAAAUUCUUCUCUUUUUUCUUCUAAAACGUAACAUGAACAUGUGGAAUUUGUGGAUGUCAGAGAGGCCAUUUAGAUCAAUCUUGAUUAGUUUAUUUUUCUUAGGAAAGAUUUUGAUAGCUGGGUAAAGUUUUUUGCUUGAAAGAGCAUUCCUUAUUUCUCCACAGAGAGAUGAAAUAUUGUUAAAGGUAGUUCUCCACUAAAGUGAGAAACUAUUUAGGUAACUGAAUCUUUGAUGGGGCGAAGGCUUAGAUUGAAAGUUGAGUAUUCAAUUGCCCUUUUCCUCAUAACUCUUCUUCCUUUAACCUCAAUAGUGAUUUUUAAAGUUAUGGCUUAAUUGCCUAGCCUCAUUUUGACAAUUAGAUUUCUGCCCUAAAGCAAUUUAUUAUGGCUUUAUAUCCCUGAAGCAGGGAGAUGAUAAUAUUGUAUUCUAUGGUACAGAACCAUCUUUGCAUGAUUAAUGUUAUGUCAUGAAUACAUAUUUCACACACACAUAUUGUAGGCUUUAAGACCUGGGUUAUAAUGAGAGCUCUUUUACUAUACAAGGUUAUAGAACUAUGUAUGUUCUGUAUUGAAUCUUUCAGCUUUCUUCUCUGUAAGGUUUUGGUGAAAUAUAUAUGGUUCUUAGACAACAAAGCCAGCAAUGAGAAACCAUAUCCCUAACAUGGGGAAUUAGGGAUGGGAUGUUGGGACUGAAUCAGAUCUUCUGGAAUUUUUCAUCUUCUGCACCAUCACACCAUUGUUUUGUGGGUUCUCAACUUUUGUACACUGUUUUCUUUUUCUGUUUUAAUGGCCAAAAUAAGUCUCCCACGGUACAACAGUAAGUGGUUUGAGCUAGAAUUACUGGAAGUUAAUGCUUUAAGCAAAAAUGUGUUCGUAUUUUGGACCCACUGAACACUGGAAUGUUGGCCCCAAGAACUUCUUGGACACUGAAUUUAGCUUUGCAACUGAUAAAAGACCUUCUGCUGGUGUGAAAUGGUGUAGACUAGCUCCGAGAGUAUUAGGACGAUGUGUGUAUCGAUCGAACAUCAAAGAAGUCUUUUCCAAUCUCCCCAAAACCAAAUAAUUCCACUCUCUCCCGUGUGAUCACAUUAAUGGGUACUGCUACUACAUCAUUUCAGACAGAGCCAGUUUCCAGAAUUAUUGCCAAAGGGGAAAACUUGCUUCUUAUGCCUGCACUGAAAACUUGAGUUUUUUGCUGUGUACAACAUAUAUGUUUCUUGCAUAUUGAACUUACACAUAUACUUCUUCCCUUUUUCUGUUUUUCUUUAUGUGUUACCGGCAUAUUUCUUUUAUAUAAACAACUAGACAUAAUUUCCUUUGACUGUUCUGCUUUAAGGACAACUGCUUUAACCUAUGAAAGAGAACUAGAGUGGGUUAAAAGCUACAUCAUUAAACAGCUACCAGAUAUUGAUAAAAUAUUUCAUCUAUGAGACAGAAGAUAGUAUGUGGAGUAAAGACCACACAUUUUCAUUAAAUAUGGCACUUACUGAAAAUCCAUACGUAUGAAAAGGGUGCUAUGUAAUUCCUGUACAUGAUUGGAACUGGCAGAGUGGAAUAAAAAAGUCUCAUUACAUAUGAUGAUCAGGCUAAGUUGCAAAAGAAAUACCAAAGAAUAGGUAAUAAGAUAAAUUUAAAAAUUUGGGUGGUUGCAAUCCCUUGAUACUUUGCUUUGUCAUCUUAAUUAUAUGCAUGGAUCCAUUAUUCAUAAAGAUCUAACAUCAUAUAAGGCAACUGAAGUAAAAUCACUUUAUUCUAAAAACUGGUGACUGAAAACAUAACCUUAAACUUUUCAUAGAUUAAUGGUUAAAUUAAAUACCAGGUUUUACAAUUGUGAUAAGGUGAACACAUUAGACUACAAAUGAGACAGAUUUAUGUACCAGUAAUUAUUUUAUUAUGGCCUUUAGAGUUAAGACCAUAUCAACAAAUGUACAGUCACUGAAUAUAUAUACUGUUUAAUUAGUAUUUUCUGGAAAAAUAUAAAUUUGGAAACCAAUAUUAAAUAUAUAUUAUGUAUUAUUAAAAAAUAAACAGAGAAAUCUUUUUGUAACUCAAUUUUUUCUGAAACAAGAAAACAAGUGCAAAUUUGUAGAUAGUAACACAAGUCCUGGAAACUUCAUCAAAUAAUGAUCCCACUCUCAUUCAGUCUGAUUGUUAUCACAUUGCCUUUAUUCUGUUACCACGCUACAUGUGGUUUGAACACACAAGCUCAGAAGGUGAAAUUGGAACAGAAUCCUAGUGAAAUACAUACCAUCCACCGUCAGACAAUGGGUUUAAAAGAGUUAUGAAGAAAUUUCAUUAAAAGAAAUAUAGCAUAUUUAUAUUGAUGAUUCUGCUCUUUUUUUGAGACUUGUAGACUUUCUGAACAUUUAGCAUAAAUAUCCAUGAAACUGUAGCUUAAUAUAAUAUCAAUUUAUUGUUAUGUUCCACUAAUAAUUUAAUCAACUAAUUUUUGUUCCUUAAUAUCUCGGUUCACUGAACACUAUGGUAGGAGAUGCUGGAGACUUUUGUUGUCUGGCUUUUUGACAGUCCAUUAUGAUUUCACAAGGCCAGAAGAAAUUCUACUUUCCCAAAAAUCUAUUCCCAGUAUGCAGUCGUCAUAAUGGAGAUCUCCCAUCUACUUCUAUAAUUCCAGUUUAAUCCCACUCACCUCGUAUGCAAGCAGUGAAAUACUUCAAUUUGUGCAUGAAGAACUAGAACAGGAGAUGUUCCAGUAACAACCUGUCAUAUUUCAGUUUGCCUGAGAAGGGUCUCAAGGGAACAUCCAGAGAUAACUUGUCCUGUUUCUUUCAGUGGGUCUACUCAAAGCAUUACUAAGAGUGGAUCCAACUGAUAAUCCAGGAGAAAGGAGCUGAUGGAGACAAGGAAAAAGUCUUCAUUGCUCCCGCCUUGAAUUCCUUCCUGUAAAUCUCCAGCUACCUCAUUGUUUCUCUUGCCAAUUUAGUGAGUAGAUAAAAUUUCCUAUGUGUGUGUAAGUGAUUUUCUUUUUCCUUGUAAAUGAUGUGAAACUACUAUCAAAUGUUAUCUUUGGUGCUGACGCAAGGAAAUUAAGAGAGGUAUUAUCGUUCUGUUCAGUGUUCUUCUCAGGGAAAACUGCUGGUUAGGUCAAUUUACUUGGCUCGAUACCCUGUUUUAAUCUUAACCUGGGGCGUACUUCAAAUACACAGCAGCUGGCUCAAACUCUUCAUGCAUGAUUGCAUGUUAAUUUCUCUUCGUUGAGAGGUGGGAAUCCAGCAAAAAUGUCUGUGUUGAAUGAAAACGUUAUGAGACUCCUAACGGGUGAAUAAGCACUCUCAUGUGAUAGAAUAAACCUGGAAUCGCCACCUGAACUUUCUGGGGCCUGAUUCCUCCAGGGCGCAAGACUUCAGUUGAAUUACAUCACGGAUAAAUUUGUCCCAACAAUUUUAAGUCUAGGAAUGUGGCAAGAACAAAGCAUUGCAUUCUCCUCUGCUGCUUCCCCAGCUUUGGGUGCAUAGCUUUCCAGUAAAAACAAGGAGGCUUGGACAUGUGAUGGCCGAAAACUAGAUGUACCUAUUUGCAUUUUUUAAAAAUGAAUUGGUCUCAGUUCAGACUUAGAAAAAAAAAGAUGCAUGCAUCUUUUUUAUUUAUGACACAGCCCAACAAAAAAAUUAUUAGUGUCUUAGUUUUUAGGCCUGUUCCUGAGAUUAUUUGGGGCAUUGAUUCAGGUAAUUGCAUUGGAUAGACCACAUCAGUUCUAGUGUUUUAGAUUUGGUUAACAUGGUUUUUAUGGGCAAGCAGACAAAGUCUGGUAUAUGGUGUAUGUUCUAUAUCUCAAAAACUAGUGCUGAUGGGGGAAACUGGUGCCAUUUUUGGAAUCAGCAAGGCACCAAGAUGUGUGUUUAUCAAUGUAAUUAUUGGAUUAAUGAAUUGCUCCAUAUUAUAGCCGUCAACCAGAUUGUAUUUACAAGUGAAAAUGUAUAGAUGUACAAAUGUACUGUAGUUACACUCCUCCUGCAUGCAGUGAUUCUAUUUUGUAGACACACAACCAAAGGGGGUUUGUGAUGGCAAAAUGUGUAAAAUCACAUCAAAAACACUAGGUUUAAUAUCAGCUACAGAAACCUAUGCAGGGAGCUAAGGAAAAAGAAACUUGUGCUUGUUUGUGCGGUCUCUGAUAGUUCAGUGUCAUUACAUUCUGUCAAAGCCACAGAAACCCACUCUUAUUUUUGACAGACCUUUUGUGCUGGCAGGCAAAGCUGGGGAACAGGUCAACAAUUAUUCUCUAAGCAGAGCAAGACAGCCUGGAAGUAGUUGAUUCUAUAACCUCUAAGCUUCAAGUUGAUAAAAAGGCACUUUACACAAGUGUGGACAUGUUUCAGGACAAAUUUAUUUUACCAUGGAGAAGGUUCGUCUCCGGUACUCUUUUUUUCCCCACCAGCAGAUGUAAUGCAAGAACUGUGGAACUAAACAUGUGGCCUUUUCGUCAACAAAGAGAAAGUGGAAAUACAGGUAGAUUUAAUAUAAGAUCAAGGAAACAAAGGAAAGAAGUAACAUGUGGGUGAAAGGAUAAACAACCCGCUUGUGUAAUAUUUUCAGUCUUCUUAAGUACCCAUUUUGUACAAACAAUUUGCAUAUAUUUGCUAUGCUUUAAAGGGUGUGUGUGUGUGUGCACGCACGCGCGUGCAUGCAGAAGGAGACAUUAGUGUAUGACUCAUAUGGAAACAUACAUGAGCAUAUUUCUCCUACAUCUUGCCCCUACAUGCUAAAAAAUAGUACAGCCCAAAGUACUGAGCAGAUCCAUAGGAUCACAAGCUACUGGAUCAAUGUAUACUUUACAAACUUGAUUGGCUGGGCACUGACAUCUUCCUGCACUUCACAGAAUCAGUUGCUUAAUGAGCAGUUUGUAUUCUGUUGGCUUCCUUGUAAAUCAAGUGUUGCUGUUUUUAAAUCAUUUGUGCCUUCCUUUUUGUCUAAAUUUAUUAGGGUAGACAAACUUUCUUUGAGUUACUCAUUAUUGUUGCUCCCUGCCACAAUGUACAAAGAGGAAAGCUGUCAUUACAGAGGAGUCUGUGAAUCAGAACUGUAGGGCAUGUCAUUGUCACAUCGGUUUCUUCUGCUAUGCCUCAGAAGAGUUUGCCAGAACUCCCCAUUAACUCUCCUUAUUUUUGGAUGGAAACUUGACUGUCAUUUCUACUUAACUGCAACUGUUCCUAACCUCUAACGAUGUGCAUGUUUUGUUUUGGGAACGUGCAUUGUGUUGAGAAGCAUUUUAACAAGAUAUAAAGUGUUGGUGUGUUUAUUGUAACAAACUGUGGAAUUUAACCCUGUUUCCAAGAGACUCACUAGUAACAGUCACACAGAUGUCCCAAUGGAAGCAUUCUUUAUUUCCUUGGAUUUUUUUCACUAUCUGUCACAUAGUCUCGGUCACACAAUAUCUCUUCAUUUCAUCACUUUCCUACAUUGCAUUUAUGUUUGUACAUUUUGAUCAUUUUUUCUCUUGAGUCACCCAUUCACCAUUCAAUUUAAACAAUAUGUAUUCUAUCAACAUUUAAAAAGUUAUUUUCACAUCUGUAAAUCUCCUUUCCUCCAGAAAUAUAAUAAAAUUGUUAAUCUGUAUUAGACUUAUUAUGGUUUUCAUCCAUAAUUAAAUGAGGUCAGCAUUUCUUCAAUAGAUUAAAGGUGCAUCACUGAAAGAAAAAUUACUCUUAUUCCAACUUAAAAAAAAAUAAAACAGAGAAAAGUUGGAGGACAGAGAAACCCAACCUUGAAUUUCCAAUUAGGAAAGGGGCUGUUUCUGUUUUCUGAGGUGUCUGUUUGACAAGCAGUCAUGUGGAAGUAGUACAGUGUGUAAGCCUUUAGUGUACAUAGACGUAGUCAUGAUCCAAACUGGGGGAUAAGUAAUUAAAAUAAUUAGAAAUAAAGCAGCUUUGUCAGGCUACACAUUCUUUUGACCAAGGCAGCUAAGGCCAAGUAUGAUUUUUUUUUAUAGUGGGACAUUUCUUUUUAAAUGUCAAGCAAUUUAAAAAAUAAUUUUAAAAUAUAUAUUUAGAAUUCCAAUUGAGAAGCUGCAAGCUUGGAUAUGUUGAUGUUUUCCAUCCCAUAUUGGUUUGUGCUUUACCCCUCGCCUGACUGAGAUAGGCUGUUCAUUCUGCUUAGCAUUGCGUGCUAAAUGCUGGUUGUCCUGACUUUCCCUUAGAUACUGGAACCAUUAGCCAACCUUGACUAGUUUUAUCUCCCCCUAUCUGACUUUCUAAGACCUGAGGCAAGUAUUUCCCAACCUUUUUACUAAAGACCUUAGUAGGUAGACCAUGGACUUUUAUAAAUGCAAUGCAAAGGUUUCUAUCAAUGGCCAUGCUGGAAAAAAUAGUAAGAAUUGUGGUCUAAUAUACAUGAAGGGCAGCAGGGGCUCAUCUACACUGAGCAGCUUAACCUAGUCUAUAUUUGGCCUGGACCAACUCCGAUCCAGCAUGUACUUGCUGAAUCCUAGACUCUUUUCCAGGACGGAUUAGACCACAACAGCCCUGCUGGGUUGUCACCUCCUCUGUAUCUCUACUGCUGCUACGUUCUCCUAGUGGGUCAUGGAGCUCUGUCAAAGCUCUUGGCUGCCUUGGUUGUGUCUGCUGAUGUCACAAUGGUCAUGAAUGUUGUCCUGGCACUCAAUUCCGACAUCGCAGAUGUGAUUUGCAGUGGCCAGGUGCUUGGAUGGAGCUCUAAAAGUGGUGGCAAUGGCAACUUGGGCAAGAGUCACCCUCUUGCCCAGUGUUAAUGAUUGAAGGGAAAGGAUGGUGAUGGGGUGGUUUCUGUUGGAUCUCAUCCAGCUAUUCAAACUACCCCAAGUUUACAGAAUACUGCAUAGGUUCAAGGAAAUUGACUUUGCCUAAAAUGGAACAAAGUUAUUUGAAAGCAAAAAAAACCCAUGAUACACACAGGAAACUGGUAUAAGUCAUGAAGAUUACAAGCAGUGCAUUUGAAGUGGAUACGGGAUUUCUGGCUCAUGUAGACAAACCCUAGGUUAGAAAAGUCUGUAAUUAGUACCAUAUCUAAGCAGUAUGGAGCCCAAGUGGCGAAGUGUGUUAAAGCACUGAGCUGCUGAACUUGCAGACCGAAAGGUCCCAGGUUCAAACCCUGGGAGCAGCGUGAGCGGCCGCUGUUGUUCCAGCUUCUGCCAACCUAGCAGUUCGAAAACAUGCCAAUGUGAGUAGAUCACAUUGAGUAGAUCACAUGGCGGGAAGGUAACUGCGCUCCAUGCAGGCCACAUGACCUUGGAAGUGUCUAUGGACAACGCCGGCUCUUCGGCUUAGAAAUGGAGAUGAGCACCAACCCCCAGAGUCAGACAUGACUGGAGUUAAUGUCAGGGGAAACCUUUACCUUUACCUUUUACUAAGCAGUAUAUCAGUAUAUUAUUUGAUAUGUGCCAUAAAUAGGGCAAAUUUUUAGAAGUAAAUUGCCGCUAAUGGAGACUUCAAGAAAAGACUCUUUCCCCCUCCCUUUUCAAAUGCACUGCUUGCAAUCUUCUUUCUUUCUUUCUUUCUUUCUUUCUUUCUUUUUUUCUUUCUUUCUUUUGUGGUUCACAGAAUUUGGAGGGUUGAGACAAAAAAAAAAAGCAGCCUGGAGACCAUAUGUGGUUCCAGGGCUGCACUUCACUACUUCUUCAGUAAGUAGUUUGAGUUUAAUCCUCUGUCCUGUCACUGCUCUUGCCUUUACUGAAGCUACUGGGUGUCAAGGAAUGUUUGCAGAGUGAGGCUAACAUUUGUGCUCACAUCAAUAUCAUCAUCUAGGUUUCCAUGUGUUCAGGCCAAUACCUGAGCAGAGCUAGAAUGUGGGUGUAUUUGGGAUAAUACAAAAAAAACUCGUUCCUCAUCUUAAAAAAAGAUACUGUGGACUAGAACUUGGAAAUUCUUCAGCCUCCAUUAUCUCAAACAAACCUUGAAUACGAAUUUGAGUAGAUCUGAUUCACAACAAUCAAACACACCAUGUUAUGCCCCACACAAAUUCUGCUCUAAUUUAGAAACUCUGGGAAGUGGAGUAGAAUAAAAAUUAAACUGAAUAAACAGUCACUCUGGAGCCACUUACUUUCAGUCUGAGUAGUGCUAAUUGUACUAGCACUUUCAUUUGAACACUGUAAUCAAAUAAAGUUUCAGAGGUAACAAUGACUUCUGCAUUGUGUCAGUAUGAAAAUUUAGUCUUUUCAUUUUAGUGUCUAAUUCAUUCUGAAUGCUGGAAAAGAUUUUCAUAAUCUUCACCUAGAGUUACAGCUAUUUAUUUUGAGUUAUAAGCUCUUGAGGGAAGCAGUGUUGCCCUUCCCAGUUUUCUCUACUGAGAAUGACAGGCAUCCUGAGAACAAGGGGUGGCUGUCUUUUUCUUCUUCAGUUUGAGGUUAAUACUGAGAAGGACAGUAUGUCAAGAAACGCAAGCUGUCUACUAAAAUAUAGAAACCAAAACAAGAUGAGGCUCUAACUAAGGACAUGCAAGGGCUGGAAUUUUUUGAGUGUUUACAUAUUUGAUUUUUGACUCUUGAUUUGAGGUCGAUAGAUUACGUUCACAUCUCCUUCUAUUUUUACUUUCCUUUCUCAACUAAUUAUUUUAUACUGAAUACCAUGACAUUUCUAAAUGUCAAAACUAAUUUGCUCUGUUAACUUUGUUCUUUGUGUUGGACAUAAUUGGGCAGAUCGUAUCUCGUGAUAAAGGAAAUUGAGAGAUCUGAAUUUUAUCAAUAUGUGAAAAGGCUGCUAAUGUUACAUUGAGAUGCAAUUAUAAUUGUUGUGAGAUAAUACAGAUACAUUUCUCAGUUAACGGUGAUUACGAAUAGUUGGUUUCUGAUGAAAUUUAGAAUAUAUACCAUUUGGAAUACUUGCCGAUAUGGCUGAGUUUUCUCUUGCUUAAUUCUGCAGAAUUAGUUCUGUACAGCACUGUGAACUCUUCGUUGUAUGUAUAUAUCAUUGUUAUAGGAAUGAGAACAAGAAAACAAUUAAGCUUAAUUAACAAUUGUCAUUUUUCAAGACUAUAUCAUUUCAGACAAGUCCACGUGAGAGAGACAGCCUGAAAGUAGUUGACAAAUAAGGGGAAACAGGAUGAAAGAAUGCUUAACAUUUACAAUUAAGUAAAUAAAAGGCUAGCAGUAAAAAAUAGUUAUUUUGCCCAAGUGAGAAGACAAGAAAAUUGAUGAUGAAGCAGCUGAAAAAAGGCCAGUAAAAGCAUAUGACUAAGAAUAUUGGGGCUCCCCUCUCCUUUUAAAUACAAAAGAAGCAGGAAAAAAUCAGUGAGUUAGGUGCAUUAUUAGUCAACACAAUGAGUGAAAUGAUUGCUUAGAAUGAUUGCAGAAGAACUGAGUAAAUUCUUCAUAUUGCUCCUUAUUUGAAGAAGAUUGGAAUUGCUUUUUCAUCCAGUGAAUUAAAACAGAUUGAGGUAAAAAGAUGAAAACUCUAGGACUGACAAAUUAAAAAUUAAUAAGUCACUGAAACCGGAUGCUAUAUACCCGAGAGUUCUUAAAGAACUCAAAUGUGAAAUUAUUGAUCUUCUAUCAAAAGUAUGUAACUUGUCACUGAAAUUACCACCCUUACUAAAGGACUGGAAAGUAACCAACAUAACAUUGAUUUUUUUAAAAGGAAACCAGAGAAGAGGCAGGAAAUUGCAGAUAUGUCAGUGUAACAUUUGUCUUGUCUGAAUUGAUGGAAACAGUUAUUAAAUCGGAAAAUGUUAACCAUAUAUGCCUAAAAUUCAGCUGUUCCUUCUAGCUAAAGUAAACCCAUUGAGUCGUUUGAACUUACAAGUUCACACUGAUUUAGUGGAUAUACUAUAAAUGAGACUAAUAGUGUAAGCCAUAGAAGACCAGGCCCUGCUGAGAAUUUAUUCACCUGGCUUUCACAAAUUCUAUGUCACCAAUAUUCAGAAUGCCAAUGGAAUACCUGUUAGGAUGACUCUUUAUCUCUCUACAUAAAAAGGCAAAGUAUGUCUCUAUGUCCCACAGAGGCUCAUGCUAUGUGAUAAUCCAGGGAUUUUUUUUUCCGUUUCAUGAGCGACUUGAGACACUGCAAGUCGCUUCUGGUGUGAGAUAAUUGGCUGUCUGCAUGGAUGUUGCCCAGGUGAUGCUCGGAUGUUUGAUGUUUUCCCAUAUGUGUGGGAGGCUUCUCUCAUGUCCCCACAUGGGGAGCUGACAGAAGGAACUCACCCACUCUCCCCAGAUUCGAACUGCCAGCACAAGUCUUUAACCCAUUUUGCCACCAGUAGCCCUUUGAUAUGUCAAUAUAUUCAGAGUGGUCCUCUGUGGUAUGUGUAUGAGGGGAAGAGAGGAAGGAAGGAAAGAGCCGCAAAGAGCUCAGAGCUGGAGAAGAGAGAAAGAAGAGGGGACAGGAGGGAGGGUAGACAUGAGGAAAAGGGAGGGGAGGAACAAAUGAGGAAGGAGGGAUGAAAGCAGAGGGGCAGCGGCCCCUUCAACACCCGGGCAAUACCAGGUAAAUGUGCUAGUAUAUUCUAUAAUAGGAUUUCCUAGAUGUGCAUUCACAGAUGGGAGUUAAAACAUACAGUUACUAGCCAGGAAAGAACCAUGCUGAGGUUGUGGUUGAUAGAUCAGGAAAAAAGGUUGACUAUACUAGCUGUUAAAAAGGCAAACACCAUGUUAAAGAUCAUUACGAAGUAAUUUGGAAAUUGGGAUUACUAUAUUAUGAUCUUGGAGACCAAGUUCCAAGCAGAGGAUAGCAGGACAAUUCACUCAUUCUCAGUGCAGAAACCAAUUCCAGAUGGGGCUUUCUAUGUAAAAGGUCCAAUGUUCAGUCUCUGACCAUUCCUGCUGUGUGUAGGGAAAGCUUAUAUCUCAAUCUAUAAAAAGCCAGUCAGUGUCAACAGUGAACUCAUCCAAACUACUGCAAAGAAGGAGGAGUUGUCACAGCAAAUAUUGACUGUUGGUAUCUCUUGGAAAUGCCUGAGCAAUCUGUAAAAUGCAACUGAGGAUGAAGGAUGAAAGAAGCUAAGUACUGUGACCAUCAUUCAGAUUUCAUAAUAUAGAUACAAUAUAGAUAUAUAAUAUAGAUAAAUCAAUACACUUCUGUGGUUCUUGAGACCUGUUUAGGUAUAACUUCUUUUUUCUAAAAGAAAAAAAAACUUAUUGUGCUGCCCAUCCCACUCAUUGAGGAGGAGGAAUAGCCAAGUAGCCCAAUUGAAUAAUGAGUACGAAACCAUACAGAUUCCUAUGAGGUUUGUUUUAGUUUGGUUUGAGGGAUUUUGUUUGCUGCAGUGUAUAAUAGAAUUUCAUAAAAACUGGGUGGGAUUAAAUGUUGGUGCUUAAAGAACUGGGAGAACACAAACAGUUUCUGUUUGAGAAUUACAGCUAUACUGUAAAUACAACAGCUCUCAGCAGUGUUUCCUCCAUAUGUUUUCUUCUUAGGCCAGUAUUCUGAUGUGAUGUGUGCUAUCUUCCUUUAUUUAUAGAACUUACUGACUUGACUUUGAAUAUGGAACUCAUGAUUUCAAGUCCUACAGCAAAUCCUUUGUUAAAUAAUUCCAUUUGUCAAACAGUGACCUCCUUAUGAACAUAUGAAGUUUUCUUAUACCGAGUAACAUAUAAUGACCAUCUAAAACUUUAGUUCUUUGGACUAGUAGCAGAUCUAUAAGGCAGAGGUCCGCAAACAUUUCAUGGUUCAUGGUCCAUCAGACUGUUGGGGGAACAGACUAUAAUUUGAAAAAGACAUGAACAAAUUCCUAUGCACACUGCACGUGCCUUAUUUGUUGUGCAAGAAACCAUGAAAGAACAAUACAGUAUUUAAAAGGAAGAACAAUUUUACCCAGCAUAAACUUACCAGUAUUGCAAUGGUAAAUGUGGGCCUCCUUUUGGCUGAUGAGAUAGUCAGGAUUGUUGUUGUUGUGUGCCUUCAAGUCAGUUCAGAGUUAGGGCGACUCCAAGUCUAAAGUUUAGAGUCUAAAGUCAGAUAAAGGACCUUAGAGGGCUACAUCUGCCCAAUAGGCCCUAAUUUGGGGACCCUAGCUAUAAGGCCUCAGCUAAAGCUUCUAAAAUUAUAAAUCAGUUCCUUUCUCAGGGUCAUUGUGUAAGUGGGGAUACUAUAAAGUUCUUUCAAGAUUAAGAUGGGCUGCAUAUGUGAUGGGCAUUUGAACUGGAUUUGUUUUGGGUUUUUUUUGUUUUUUUGUUUUUUUGUAUGUAUCUGAAUCUUGAUAACUUUCAGACUUUUGGGUUUUUAAAGUAUAUUUUCUCAUCCUUUAGAGAUUUUGCAUCUACCAAUCCAAAAACAUAACAAUGAAGAAAGGGCAAAUGUAGGCAUUGCUCCUUACUUGAUACUUCUGCUCUCCAGGAUACAAAAAAAAUCAUUCUGUUACUCUUCCUUUAAAGUGAUUUAUGCUCCAUCCAUUCUCUAUCUUUUAUUUUUGUCUUGAACCACACAAUUAUUUUCUUCCACCCCUGUAUUCACCCAUCCAAUGUAUGAAGCCUGCAAGACAAGGGGAGGCAUUUAUCAACCAACUCAUGUCUAGAAAAUGUUGUGAAGUAUUUAGAAGUCAGCUGUAUUAACCUAAUAAGUUUGUUGAUCCAGCUGAAGUUCAAAACACCUGUUGGACUGUCACAGCAAUAAUGUACUGACUAUAAUAGAUUUUCAAGUGGAAAUUUAUUUUACAAGCAGAUUUCUCCAUGAAUGAGCAAAUAAGCCAGAUGUUUUUGUUCUGAAAACCUGAGAAACAAAGAGAAGCACAUACUUUAGGGUCCUUUCACAGAGUCUAUCUGCCCCAUACAAAUUCUGUAAGCAUACAGCAAGAUGGUGACCAGGUGGUAGACAAAUGCGGACGAUCAUGUCAGAUUUCUUGUGGGAAUAUAUAUAUUACAUUAGACUCACAGGGGCUAGGUUCAGCUCAAAGAGCUACAUUCAAGCCUCUGUCAUUUGAGCUGCAUCAGCAGCUAAUAGGCUUUUUCAUACAUGCUAGUACAUAAAGCACACUUAGAAUACUCACUAUUUUAAAAAAAUUAGUAGCAGUAAAAUACAUGUCUAUUCUUUAUAUGUGAUGGCUUUAGAAUUGCUUACUUCUUCAGAAGAUAUUGACCUGGGCAUGAAUUGACUUAAUUUACUGACAUUUGACUAGGAGAGAACAGGACCCAUAUUUAAGUGAUAAAGCAAUGCUUUGCACAAAGAAUAGGUUCAGUCCUUGAACUCAGUUUUUCAAUGCUCAUGAAAAAUUCCUGUGGCAGACGAUCUGCCCCUGAUAGCCAGAGCAGAUAACAUUAGCCUAGAUCAGAGAUCGGCAAUGCGUCUCUCUGUAGAUAUUGUUGAACUGCAACUCCCAUCAGCCCAACCUAGCAUAGGCAGUAGUGAGGAAUGUGGAAAUGGUAGUCCAAUAACAUGUGGAAACCAUACUUUGCCCAUUUCUGGCCUACAUGGAGAAAUAGGCUGGCCAAGCUUAAGACGGCUUCUUGUGUUCCUGUGAUAUGUCUAUGUUCACAUUAUAAAUAUAAUAUAUUUUCAGAUUGUGUUUAGAGCCAAAAUCAUCUUUCUGGGUCCCAGAGAGAGGGUUGAAUAUAUGCACGCACAUACAUACACACAAAACACACAGAACUCAGAGAUCUUAAUACAGAUUGCUUUUUCCUCGCUGGUAGCAGCAGAGGGGAAAAGAAUGUCUAUAUAGGGAUCUCUAAGGGAAAGGAGAACAAAAAAAAAGGUAGGGUUGAAUUUGGAAGCAGCAGAUUGCUAGGACUCCCAAAAAGCUAUUUUAGACUUUUAAGAGGCAGAGGUAUGCAAUUCUGUUCUCAACCACUUCCUCCUCCUUUUAGGGAAGAUAAAUAUGUCAAAUAAUGUACUCUGUACAGUAAUUAAAAGUUUAAUUCAAAAAUAUUUCAUUGUUGUUGCCUGCAAUGUAUCCAUUUAAAAAACAGAUUAAAUUUUCAUUCAUUCAUUCAGUUUCCCCCAAAAUAAGACAGGGUUUUAUAUUAAAUUUUGCUCCAAAAGAUGCAUUAGGGCUUGUUUUCAGGGGAAGUCUUAUUUUUCCAAAUUGACUUUUUAAUUGAACUAUAUCUAGGGCUUAUUUUUGUAAUAGGGCUUAUAUUUUGAGCAUCGUCAGUAAUGCUGAAAAAUCAUGAUAUAUCUUAUUUUCAGGGUAGGUCUUAUUUUUGGCAAAACAGGGUAAUUAUAUAUAUAUAUAUAUAUAUAUAUAUAUAUAUAUAUCUCGCAAGUACAGUAAUUGUACUUUUCAGGCAGGUGAGACUAGAUAGGUGUUUAGAUCGAUGCUCUGGAUCUGUGAUACUAUCACAACUAGCAACAAUUCUGAAAUGUUACUGGCUCAGCAAUUAGCCUGAUUUUGAGAGAUGGGUUUUUUUUAAAGCCCCAUAUAAUUAAUGGCUUUAGUCAUGAGUGUUAAGCAGGAAUGAUAAAAUAGCAGUUAACAGAUCUAGUUAUGCUAAAAGCCAGCUGCUUGGGAGGGUUCUGGACAUAUCAUUAAAAAAACCUGUAACUGUAAGUGGAGAAAAAGCAGACCUACAGUUGUAGAGUUAAGCAGUGUCAAAUAAAUGUUGUUGACUGCCAGUUGGAAAGGUUCCUAAACUACUAGAAUCAAAAUAUUGAAGAAAAUGUUACCUAACUGUUGGUGUCUCCUUGGGAUGGAUCACAUAUGAAAUAGCAUUGAAAAUGGCCCAUCAACCAUAUUUAGGGUCUCCUCAUACCAGUCAAUGUUUUUAUAGAAGAGAAACACUCAGUUUUCUUAGUCUGUCCUCUUCUUAGGGCCUGUCUACACAGACAAAAAACCAAUUGUCCUCACCUUGUAGCUGGCUUGAUCUGACAGAUGACUUAUGACCUCUUUGGUUAAAUGUGAUACACCAAAACUCACUUUGUGUGCCUCCAUUUCCAGGGAAAUCCAAUCUUAUGCUUUGUUAAGCAUGGGGUGGUUAUGGGGGAACAAGUUGUUGGAUGGCAAGUAUUACCAUUUUUUACAUGUCCACUUCUAUUUGUUUUCUAACAUUAAAUAUCUUUGUUCUGGUAAGCAGCGGUGUCGCAGUUGGAGGCAGUGACAAAACACUUCCUCUGAGCAGAAUUUGCUCUCCUUUUUCCUUUAUCUUUGUGCUGGGAAGUGGCGGAGUAAGGAGAGGUCUCUGUCUCUUCCAUUUUGCUCAGAUCAACCUCAACUGCUGCCUUCCCUUCCCAACUAAACAGCUUCCCGGCAGAAUCCCGCUGGGAAAUGAGGUUUUCAGGAUUGAUCAGGCUACUUCCUCACUGCUAGGCACCUCAUUCAGACUUUCAAACAAAUGACUUCCUCAGCAGGGCUCUUCCAGGAAGGCAGCACCAGGCAAAUCUCUUUGGAAAAUAAGAAGAAAUAAAACCGUGUUGAUUUGAAUUUGGGUUGUGGGCAAUAAUGAAAUUUCAAGUAGAUAUGUAUUAAUGGGAUGAAUUCGGGGCAACUACAAGACUGAAUAAUUUUAAUUACAGAUUAUUUUGGUGUUGUUUGAGUAGUGCUGACAACCCUUAGAAGGUCAGUCUAUUUUUUUCUGAAAGCAAUUUUAUGGAAUACAAAUAUUCAACCACUGUGACUCUACUUUGUAACUGUAAAUACAUUGGCUUAAAAAAAUCUGAUAGGUGGGGUAGCACUUUGAACAUUGGGCUAUGAUUCUCUAGAUCAGGGCUAAUAUCCCCACUGAUCACCUGGAAUAAGUGACACUUUCUCCGCCUUAGCACUCUCUCAGCCUCAGAGGAAGAUCAUGGCAACCCCAUCUCAACAAAUCAUGUGAAGAAAACCCCAAGAUAGGGCAGCCUUUGGGUCACUAUAUGCAAAAAAUUACUUGAAGGCAAGCAACAGCAAUAACAAAAAUAACAGUAUUUUGUCAUUUUCAAAUAAAAGGAAAAAAUAAAGAAUGCCUGGAAUCACAAAGUGUCUGUAAACCUAUGACUCACUUAUCAAGGAGGCGUAUGCAGUCAGACAAUCAGAUGAGAUAAUCUAAUGCAGAGUUUCUCAAAUUCUGCUCCUCUGGGCGUUUUGGACUUCAGCUCCCACAAUUCCUAGCAGCUGGUAAACUGGCUGGGAUUUCUGGGAGCUGAAGUCUGAAACACCUGGAGGAGCACAGUUUGAGAAAUAUUGAUCUAAUGUAAUAAAAGGACCAGACUAUCUAACUAAGGUUUGGAUGUUUGCUGCAAUGAAGAAUCUAAAAACAUUAGAAAGUAAUAGAACAUGCACCAGAUGCAAGCAAUUUCUAAAGACCAUUGAAUGAGGAAUUACACCUUGAGUGUGAAAUCUGAGACAUUUUUCUCCAGCCUAUGGUUCAGUAUUUGUACACUUAUUUGGGCUGGGAAAGAUAACAGCAGCCACUUUUCCUGUUAGUAUAUUCUGGUUUCCCAAGACAGGAGAAAAAGGGAAAAUCAGAUCCUACUAUGUCUAAUCUAAAAAAAAAAACAGGGAUCAAAUGAACUCUUUCUAACAAAUUAGAAUUUUGGCUGUCUUCAUGCAUUGCAUUGAAAGAGUAAGAUGCCUGCCAACCAGUCUCUUUAUUCUAUUCUUCCCUUUCUAAAAUCACCUUUUAACUACCAAGAACCAAAAGUUAGAAUUACUGGAUGUCGUGGGUUAAAUGCAUACUUGUUAGAGCUUAGCAGCAGGAGCAGCAGACCUAGGUUACAAAUUCAGUGACCAGGAACAAAUGUGCCCUUUCCAACAUUUCUCUGCUACAGUCCAUGUUGCUUUUCAGCCUUCUUCUCCCCUAUUCACACAGUCAGGUUUCUUCUUAAUCAUUGACACUUCUAAUGGGACAUAAUGAAUUGGCCCAAAGAGAGAUGGGCUUUGUUUAAAACACUGUUGCUUUACUUUUGGGGGUAGGAGGUCUGCUUGUCAACCAAAGAACACCUGAGAUCAAAGAUGUUUGGCAAAGCUUAGACAAAUUUUGCUACAUUUUGUUCGAUUAUUCUUAUUUUUGAAAAUGUAUAUAUCUCUUCUGAUCUUUUAAAUCUCCAAGUGACACACAACCAUCGAACACAUCCAAACCCACCCCAGUCCUGUUCAUAUAUGCUAAGCCAGGUCUCUCCCCUGUGAUCAAAUUGUGGACAAAUUUGGCUUUAUUAUAAAGCAUCUUGGUACUCAGCAACAACAACAACAACAGAUCGUAUUUGAGCAACUGUGUCUGUGGAACAGUGGGCAAUCUCUCCUUCGGGGAGAUGGGGCGGGGUAUAAAAAUAAAGUUAUUAUUAUUAUUAUUAUUAUUAUUAUUAUUAAUAUGGUCUUGGAAAUGGUCCAUACGCACUUAACCUCACCCCACCCCCUUCAUUGUCCCUUUCCUGAUGUGAAAAAUGACAAGUCUGAGAAAAAAGACACUGUUCUUCAUAUAGAGGCUCUCCACAUAACCAGUUGUAUUGGAACAUCAAGAUUUUAUAUAUGUGAAGUGUCUCCAUGUGAAUUUGAACUUUUCUUCAGAUCCAUUGCUUCUACAUGGUGAGAAAAAUGAUGGAGUGUGUUGGAAGUCAAUUGAGUAAUAACUGAGUAAGGCCUUUUACCACUACUCACAGGAAAGCCAAAUAGAGUUACAGAAUCUACAAUGACACUUUAUAUAGUUUUUACCCCUCAUUCUCAUAAAAUCACUAUCUCCUUACAUCAUCAUGGGCAAAGGCUGAGUAUGAUUUUCUUCUAGAGACAGAGUCUGACGGUAGGUCCAUAAAUGACUAUGAAGACCCAUUCUGGAUACACAUGGUCUUUCACACUGAGGACAUAGAUAGAGGCACCUUCCUCUUGGCGUAUUUCUUCCUUUCACUGUGUAUUCAUGCCUCUUCAAAAUUCGCAGUACCGUUGGUAACAGCUAACUUCCGGUUACAGCAUUCAAGUGCCAGGGCUUUCCAGUUCUUUGUAUUUAUACCACAUUCUUUAAGGUUAGCUUUAAGCUAACUUUUAAAUUGUUGUUCAUCGAAAUUCCAUUUUCCAUUCUUGAAGAUAAAGUAAUUGCUUUGGAAGAUGCUAAUCAGAUGACAUUCAGACAAGAUGACUAGGCAGCACUACACCAACACAUAUGAUUGCCAUCCAUAGUGACAUAGUGCUCAUCUCAGAGCAAUCUAGAAAUGGUCAGAUUUCAGCUGUUUUACUCUCUUACGUAUUUUUGCAUGACUCAGUCAUACAUUUACUUUUACACUACCAUAUUCAUUUCAGCCAUCAAGACAGAGGUCAUGUUAGCCAUUCGAAGUGAAAAGGACAUACAACAACAGAGCAAUAAAAGUAACAAUGAAUGUUACUUUUAUUGUUCUGUUGUAUACAUUCAAGUCAUUUUCACUUUGAGUAAACCUAAGGCUAUCAUGAGGUUUUCUUAGAAAGAUUGGCAAAAGGAAGUUUGUCCUUUCCUUUGGGGCUGAAAAAGUAUAACUAGCUAAACAGAUCCUAGGCUCCAGAGCCCUAACCCAAAACUCAAAUCCACUCAACACACUAGCUCUUCAUAUUGCUCUUUGGAAUGUGAAAUACAACUAUUACUACAAUAGUGUUCUUGUUUAAAAGAUAGGAAAUGCCUUACAAAGUAGUAUAGUUGCAGAGGCAGUCUCUUGGAUCCUGGAGAUCAGAUCCACUCAUUGGUAUCUGUUAAUUUAUCAUCACCAUUAUGAUUUUUAAAGGUGUUCCAAAUGCACAGUCAUCUGCUGACAUCUUUUCAGGAAUGGUGUUUCUGCUAUCAUAUUUGCAGGAAUGGUGGACUGAAUGUGGAAUGUGGCAUUUUGCAUUCCCCAGCAAUGGCCGUGUGCCAGAACAAUGAAGUUUAUAAUUGGAAUUGAAUAUUUCUGUAUCAUAAAAUGCAAAGAAAAUACAUAAAUCAUGGCUAGCCUGGUGGUCUCCAUUAGUAAAAAGAAAUCUGAAUUCUGCCCCUUCCAUCUCUCUCCCUCCAUAUACACAUGGACACACACAGAGAGUUGAAUUUCUCCGGGGACACUGUGAUUAUUCCAUGUCCAGAAGAUUCAACAGACCUCUGGAGUCUGGUUACUAUGUUACAUCUUGAUUGACAUUUUGUGAAAGCAUUCUGAAAACCUACGCAUUCAACAAACCCUGUUUUUGAAAUGGAGGAAGUGGGAUUGUAGUUAAUAUGCCAUAGUAAUCAAUAUGAGUCUUUAAGACCAGUGAUUAAGAUUUAUUUAGCCUUUCCCUUGUUCUUUCCCUAUUUGCCCUGAUUUUACCUAUGGAUCUUUCGGAGCUCUUGCACUAGUCACCCUCGCUGUAUCUAGCAAUCGAUACUCAGGCUUUUAAAGUAACUGUUAUGUUGUUUAUACCUUUGUUAUAUUGUUUUAAAUCACUGUUUUAAUUACUGUUGUAUGUAAUGCUAUGUUGUUGUUUUUGGCUAGUCCUUGUGUAAGCCGCCCCGAGUCCCUUCAGGGAGAUGGAGGCGGGAUACAAAAAUAAAGUUGUUGUUGUUGUUGUUAUUAGCCAUUUAGACAGUGUUGGUCUUCCCUGCUUUAAAUGCGACUCAUACCCAAAUGCACACCAUAAACCAUAAACAUAUAUUAACCGCAUUGUAGAAUCGGAGGCCGCAGUGUUACAGCGGGUUAAACCGCUAGGCUGCAGAACUUGCUGGUCAGAAGGUUCGAAUCCAAGGGACAGGGUGAGCUCCCAUUGCUAGCCCCAGCUUCUGCCAGCCUAGCAGUUCGAAAACAUGCAAAUAUAAGUAGAUCAAUAGGUACCGCUUCGGCAGAAAGGUAACAGCACUCCAUGCAGUCAUGCUGGCCACAUGACCUUGGAGGCAUCUACAGACAACGCUGGCUCUUUGGCUUAAAGAUGAACACCACCCCCAGAGUGGGACUCGACUACACUUAAUGUCAAGGGGAAACUUUUACCUUUAGAAUAUGUAUAUGUGGACUAUUUCCCAUGUCAUCCUCCUCCUUCCUCAUUGACUGACUGGAGUUCCCUUCAAACAUCUCUCUAUUUCUGAAAUCCUUUCAUUUCCCCAUUUUUAGAAGUGUCCUUACAAUAUUAUUACAUCAUCUGCUUGGGAUUGUUGUUUUAAUUGAGCAAAUAUUGGAACAGCAAUGAGAUAUAUAAUUUAAUUCAGUGGUUGUAGUGGUCCCACUCCUUAGAUACUGUGUACAAUCCAAAUCAUGGAUUUUUGUGCCUCUCCUUGCAAAUGGACAUAGCUUGUAAUAAUCCAUUUCUUAGCAUCUGGCGAGGGAAAGUAUACUGUGUUUUUUUUUAAAUAGCUUUGGGAAUGACAGUGGUUGCCAGCUGCAUAAACAGCACUAACCCAGCGGCAUUGUUCAGUCAUUGGGAGUGCCUAGAAUCUCAUCUGAUUAGUGAAAAUCUGUAAUUAUUAGGGCAGUUUGUCAGCAUUUUCUUUUAAGCAAAAUAAAAAGCCCAAACAUUAAUCUACUUUUUUGUGUCAAAAAAGUAGCUAGAGGGGUUUUUUGAAGGAACUUCCUGAAAAGAGCACUACUCCUUUCUGUGAAGAGAUCUUUACUCAUUAUCAGAGCUUAAGAAAGUUUCCAUGGGUACUAUAAGAAGCUGUAUCCCCUGGUGGUUGGGUAAUUUGGGAAUUGCAGUCCAAAAAAGUAAAUUUCCUAUAAAGUGUUAAUUGUUGGAGAGAAAGGAGAACAGCAACCUUCUCUUGUGAAUUGUUUAGCAUACUUCACACAAAUUCGUACUGCACUGGAUAGUGGGAAUGGAGAGAUCACAACUUCACAGGGAGCAUUGUAUGCGCUGCAGGAUUGGACUGGUCCUCUGGUCGUAUUUGUCAGUGCCCUGCUCUAUUUCAAGAUGCUUUUCUUUAUUUCGACAUUUUCAAUAGGAGUGUACACAUCUGUCUUUAUACCCAGCAGCUUUCCUGGCCCACAACAAGUCCUCUGUGAGUUUCCCCAACCAAGCUCAGUGGGAUCUCUGUCAGCUGCAAGAUUUAUGUCAUCUUUUUCCAUCCUGAGAACUGUUCCUUAAGCUUUUCACAUCUGGAUUUAAUUGGAAAGACAUUAAAAGACAUUAAGUGUGCUGGAAAAGCAUAUUUUAGGCGGGAUCUUUAUAGACACUUCCAUUAAAGAAGCUAACAGUUAGAGGUUGAAGUGGGAUGCGGACAAGUCAUCAGCCAUUAUCAAGGACAAAAUUGCACUGCUAACUGCUUCACAGCAGUUCCUCAUGGAGACCCUAGGCCUAUUUCUGACCUAACCCACUCCAGUGUAAAUCAGGAGCAAGGCAGCACUUGAAGAAGCUUUUUUCUUUAAUUUUAUGAAACAGAGCACACUUGGGCAUUUUUCAUUUCUGGUGUACUACCUGUAAAAUCUUUUAAAAUAUAGUGCCUCGUUUAAUCUCUUGCUGUUAAGUUUUACAUAUUCAAUUUGAGUUUAGUUGAAGUUACAUUGAGGAGUGAUUUUCAGCACAUAAGAAAAAAUGAGAGCUCAUUGUUCAUAAAUAUAGCUAAAGACUUUAUUUUUAUAGCACAACUCACUGCAGCAUCAUAAGCCAGCUAACCCUAAAUGGUUAUCCAAAUAUUAAUCAUUUUAGGGGUCAGUGGAACAGAAUAUUUGUAUCUAGGAAUAUGUUUUACCUGUCACCUGCUACUUUAUUAUAUUGCAUUAGAGGGAAGAAAGGAAGCGGAAUCACUUCAUUGGGUCUGUGGGGGAAACCAGAUGGCUUUGGCCCUUCUUCACCCUCAACUGUUCCUGUUGUAGUUGUUAUGAACUUUAGAAUUGGUACCAAAUUGCUUUGUUUUCCUCUUCCAUCUCUAUCCAUUUUACCUUUCUUUUGUGUAAGCCUGCAAACGAAGACAUUUUUUGUUUGUUUUUAAAGCCUUUUUAAAGCCUUUUCACCUUUUCAAAUGAAGAAAGGGAUAAAUAUGCUUUAAAUAUAUAACAUACCAUUAUGCAAAGUCCAUGCUGUCAUCCAUAACUUCAUGAGUACUCAGUGCAUUCUCCCCUUAGGGCAGAGGUCCCCAAGCUAAGGCCCGUGGGCCAGAUGCGGCCCUCCAAGGUCAUUGACCUGGCCCCCGCCCUCAGUUUUAGACUUAGGCUCGCCCAAAGUCUGAAAUGAUUUGAAGGCACACAACAAGAACAAUCCUAAUUAACUUGACUAUCUCAUUGGCCAGAAGCCAAUGUUUAUAUUGGAAAGCUCUUAUUGUACUUUUAAAGGUUAUAUAUUAUUUGAUGCCAUGGACAAUGGCUAGUACAAUAAACAAUUCAAUUCUCCUCUUCAAUGGCCAGAACAGGCCUACACUUUCCAUUGAACUUCAAUGGCCUACACUUCCCAUUGAACUCCUGAUAGAUUUAUGUUGGUUAAAAUUGUUCUUAUUUUUAAAUAUUGCAUUGUUCUUUCAUUGUUAUUGGUUUUUUGUUUUUUGUUUUUUGUUUUUUGCACUACAAAUAAGACAUGUGCAUUGUGCAUAGGAAUUUGUUCAUUUUUUUUUCAAAUGUUAAUUCAGCCCCUCAACAGUCUGAAGGAUUGUGGACCGGCCCUCUGCUUAAAAGGUUUGAGGGUCCCUGUCUUAGGGUAUGCGAAGCAGUUAACAAUUUUGAAUAUUUGUAAGCACCAGAGCUUCGGGGUGUACUAAAGUAACAAUGAAACAUGGUUCCAGUAUAGUAGACAAAAGCCCAGUGAGAACUGGUUUUAAAGUUGUUGUUGUGUGUGUUAAAUCUGUUUUUUUUUGUUUUUUUUUACUAAUUGUGACAUUAUCGUGGAGUUUUUGUGGCAAGAUUUGUUCAGAGGGGAUUUGCCAUUAAUUCCCUCUGAGACUCGGCGAGUGUGACUUGCCCAAUGUCACAUGGUGGGCUUCCAUGCCUGAGUUGUCUCCAAAGGUGCAGUCCAAUACUCAAACCACUACACCAUGCUAGUUACCCCUGAAAGUCUUAAUUAGCUAUUAAAUUUCCAAGUUGUUUCGGGCAUGUCAUUCUUUUACACUCAAUAACAUGAAGGAAUACAAGUUGAGCGUCCCUUAUCCCUAACUCCAAAAUCCAAAUUUGUCUACAUGGUUUACUGAGACAGUGACACCUCUAUUUUCUGAUAGUUCUGUGUACACAAACUUGGUUUCAUGACCAAAAUUAUUAAAAACAGUAUAUAAAAUUCAGACUAUGUGUAUAAGAUGUAUAUGAAGCAUAAAUGAAUUUUGUGUUUAAACCCAAAACAUUUCUGGACCCAAGGAUACUCAACUUUUAAUGGCUUUUCUCUCAGAAUUGUUGUGAGAGUGAACAAGGUAAUUACAGAAGCUUGUCUCUCUGUGCAGUGGAACAGAAGAGUAGCAGUCAGUCUUGACUAUUUAAACAGUUUUAUGUAGUAUGCACUGUGCAAAAUGAUGUACUCUAAUCUAAAACUGAACGUGAGCAUUUACUGUUAUGAAGUAAUGUCUCACUGUUACUAACAAUUUAAAGUGCCUGACUGUAUGCAGACUGAUAGGCAUUUAACUAUAGGCCUUCACAUGGGGGAACAGUCAUGUAAUCCAUCUUUUUGUGUCCUUAAUAUAUUCUUAAAAUAAAUGUGAUAUUCAAAGGUUUCUUUCUAGAGCAAAAGCAUCUGUGGCUAAACAAAUAGACCUUUGAAAUAAUAUCCUGCCUGUCUUUAAAGUGAAAAAUUGUGUGUGUAUAUGCAUGUGUUUUCCUUUUUAUCUUUCAAUAAAAGCAAAACAAAUAGUGAAAAACCUCCCUCUGUAAACCAUCCCAGCAAAACAAAUGGAUUUGUUUUAUGGUCCUCCACCUACUUGGGGGUGAGAUGUGCUCACUGUCUAGAGUACAUUCACAUGAGCUUCCUUUACAAAGCCAUUUCCUCUCAGAAAGUGUUGCUUUGAGUUAAUUCCACCCCAAUGCCUCACAUAUGUGAUCAUAUACAAUCUCUUCUUAAGUAGUAUAUGCCAGAGGGAAGGUAGUAGUUACUGGACUUAGAAGAGGGUAUAAUCAAGAGUAAGAUAGGUUAUGAAUAUAAUGUUGUUUUUUCAUAGUGAAAUUAUAUAAUAAUAAUGUAAUGAUUUUAGGAUUACGCUAUCUAAUUCUUAAUGAGAGAGGUAUCUUCACCCAUCAAAAUCUAUGUACAAAAUGAACCUACUGAUAUUCUUUUUUCCAAGUUAAAACCAAGACUUUAGUAAGGCUCCUAUAUCUGUGGGAGAUAUGUUCCAGCCAGACCACCGACUCCAGAUCAUAGUUACCUAAAACCAUGGAUAUGACCAAACAUCAUUGAAAUUACCUGACUUCCAGUCGGGUAAUUUCCAUAUAGUUGCCCUAGAAAAUAGUCCUGGAGAGAUAUUCUUUCUAGGAUUAUGCUAGGUCAGUGCAGGGAAGACAGUGACCCUUUUGCUUGGUGGGUGGUUCCCUGUGUCAUGUGGUAGUGUCCAUAGCGUUCUAGAAGAGGCUGCACUCUCCACAAAGGAUGAGGUUCAUAUUUUGAAGAUACUGUUCAAGCCAAUCUCUAGCACAAGAAGCAAAUGUUUUCGCUGCGCAUGGUGCACCGCUCUCACUUUAGACCAGUGGUUUCCAACCUAUUGGCCUCCAGCUUACCAGCUGUUAGGGAAUAUGGGAGCUGAAGUCCAAAAACACCUGGAGGCCCAAAGGUUGGGAACCACUGCUUUAGGCUGAUAAACCCAACUGCAUUACUGCCUGAGAGGACAUAGCUUGAUUUUACUGAUCUAGUAACCUCCCCUAUUGAAACUGUUUAAUUUUAGUGCUGUUUUUUCUCCAUGGCUGCUGUUUUUAGAUUGGUUUUUGUUUUUUGGGGGUUCUGUCUUAAUAUCAGUAGUCCUUGCUAUCCAGAUUUUUAUUUCUGCUGCUGUUUUUGAUUUUGAUAGUACAGUACAAGCCAUGGGAUAUACAUUGCCAGACUUUUCAUUCAUAUGCAAAACCACAAAUAAUAGCGAACCCUGUAGAACUGAAGAACAUGUGGCUCAGGAAUACCUAGGAAAUGCCAAAUAAAUAAAUAAAUAAAUAAAUAAAUAAAUAAAUAAAUAAAUAAAUAAAAGAGUAUGUAUUUUGUAGAACAUUGAUAAAUGAAAGCAUGGAUACUGGUUCUGUGGAUAUGGCGGUGAUAUUUUUCAACUCAAUUUUAUGGAUUUAUUCUAUUACAGAAGGAUUCAGCUAUGCUAUGGAAUGACUCAUAAAAUCAUGAAAUCAUGAAAUUAGUAAUCAGUAGUAAAGUAUUAAGAAUGGACAUUAAUGUUUGUUUUUGUAAACCACACUGGAAACAUGAUAGCAAUCUACAAAACAACGAAAAUAAUUUUACUAUAGACAAUCGGAGUGCAGUUGAGAGUUUGCAUGAUUAUCUGUUCUCUCCUAUAAAAGGUAUUAUCCCAGAAAGGUAGAGCAUGCUAUAGUCGAUUAGGAAAAUAAGUGUAGUAGAGAGAAGGUGGUACAGUAGAGUAGUCAUUCUCAUCCUUUGGUCUUCCAUGUUUUGAAGUUAUCAGAAGCUCCAGUCAAUUCUCAGAAUCUUCAGCUCUCAGCCAGCAGAGAGCUAAAACCUUAAAACAUCUAAGACGCCAAGCUUUGAAAAACACUGCUGUAAAUUGUUUCUAGUCUAAGACAAGAAAUACCAAGAUGUUUGUUUAUAAAGCUAUUGUCCUCCCAAUCCUGUUAUACGGCUGCAAACCAUGGACGGUCUACGGAUGUCACACUCAACUUCUGGAACGAUUCCAUCAGUGUUGCCUUCGAAAAAUCCUGCAAAUCUCUUGGGAAGACAGGCGGACAAAUGUCAGCAUGCUGGAAGAAACAAAGACCACCAGCACUGAAGCGAUGAUCCUCCACCAUCAACUUUGCUGAAAUUGCCAUGUUGUCCAAAUGCCCAUUCAUCAUCUCUGAAGCAGUUACUAUACUCUCAACUCAAGAAUGGAAAUAGAAAUGUUGGUGGACAGGAAAAGGGAUUUAAAGAUGGGCUUAAAGCUAACCAUAAAAACUGUGGCACAGACACUGAGAACUAGGAAGCCCUGGCUCUUGAGCGUUCUAACUGGAGGUCAGCUGUUACCAAUAUUGUUGUGGCUACUGAAGUAUUGUAAUGCAUUAGUUGUGAGUCGUUUUGAGUCCAUAAGGAGAAAAAAGUAGGAUAUUAAUAAACAAUAUAAUAAUGAUAAUGAUGAUAAUAAUAGUAAUAGUAAUAAUAAUAAUAAUUUGAAAAGGCACAAAUGGAGGGUGAAAGAAGAAACGUGUCAAGAAGAAGGCACGUCAAGCCAACCCUUGUCAGGACCACCUUCCAUCUGGAAACCAAUGUCCUCACUUUGAAAGAACAUGCAGAUCAAGAAUAAGUCUUCACAGUCCCGCCGCCAAGACCCUACAUUUGGAAGGCAAUCAUACUUAGCUGCGAGUGAUAGCUUAUGAUGAUGACAUAAGACAAGAACCUUCAUGAAUCCCAAAUGUGAAACCAAGAGGACCCUUUCAGCUUAAUCUCCUGAAGGAAAGACACAUGUGCAUAUGUAUGCAAAGGUACAUGUAUAUGUGUAUAUGCACACUUCCCAAGCCAUAUGGCCCUCCCUAAAAUGAAUGAAUGAAUGAGCAGGAAACUGUAUAUGUUCACUAAAACAUUUGGUGAGGUGAGUAGCCAAGUGUGGUUGAAGGUCAGCACAAUCUAGUAUUAACAGAAAGGGGGUUGUUUUUCUUUGUUUUUCUCUUUUCCUAAAGAAUAACAGUCUCAGAGAUUAAGUCAAAGUACCUAUUCUAGUUGUUUGCCUGCUGUUAUUGGGCAGAAUGAAAAGAUCAGAUCACCUAAUAUGGAGUAUGAGUAAGUACCUUUGGCUGUUGGUUUCUGUUUGCUGUUUAGAUGAUGGAAAUCACCUUUAUGAUAUAUUGAGUUAAAGAUAGUGUUUACAAUACUAAGUGGAAGACAUGAGCAAAUACAAACAAUGAAUUAGACUUUGCCAAAUAUGUAGGUGGGUUUAAAAAUACACUCUUGACUGAUGUUGACAGAAAAAAACGUUAUGUUCUUAACACAUUGGAGGAAGGAGAGCUUUUCAAGAACAGUUAAUCCUUGCUUAAAGUUCUUUGUGAUCCCAGCAAUCUAAUUUGUGUCUGCAAUUGUUGUUUGUCAGGUAAAUGUUACCCACAUUGGACAGGGUAUCCUGAACAUAGUUCUUCUUAAUUAUUUUAAAUAUUACAUUUCUCCAUCUUUGCCUUAGGAGAAGUUUUGUUCCUCCCUCCCUUUAGAUUCCCCUUUAAUAGGCACAGUUAUUAUCCAUAUUCUAAUUCAUACUAGGUAAAUAUCCGCUUCUGCAGUGACUAAUCCCUUUUCAUGUAAAUUGCAUGAGUUAAUCAGCUUAAUAUAGCGGGGAAUAACAGGUUCAGGGAAAAAGGGUCUUAAAGCCAGGUAAUUAAAACUUGCCUUGUGCAGUAUGAAUAACUGUUCCAAAAUUAAAUUUUUAAACAGAUGUUGACCUUGGUCUGUGUGAAAUCUAAUCAACUGGGGGGUGGUAGUGCCUGGUAACAGAAGGUUGUUAAAAGAUUCUUUGCUGAAGUCAUUGGUUCUGAAUGCAGGUUACAAAGGAGCUCAUAUUAGUUUCUGAGUCGUAAUUAAACAUGUUAGCGAUGUAGCAAAUUAAGGUUUAACUGGAGUCCUUUUACACCACGUGUCUGCAUACACACACACACACACACAGACUCAUGAUACAUACAUGCAUAUAGAGAAGGACAUGAAUAGGAGGUAUAUGGAAGUUUUUGAAGAAUUAUACACCUAAAGAGAACUUAACAAACAUUAUGAACUGAUGUCUAUCGAGGCUAGGUUUCUUGAUUGCUGAAGUAGGGUUGAUCUUUAGACUGUAAGAAGGGAUUCGACAAUCAGUUCUCUUUUCAGAAAUGUAGACUUGAAUUAACACACAUGGAAACCAUAAACAUGGAAUAGGAUGGGAGAAGUGUAGAAGGAAAAGGGUAUUUCAAGGACUGUGGCACAAAGAAAGAAGGCUACAGAAUUAUCACCACUUACUGUUUUGCUUCUUUUCUUGCCCCUUAGACUGAUCUGAAACAGUAACUAAAGGAUUCUUUCGAAUCCUAGUUCCCACUCUGCCUUUCCCAUUCACUAUUAGCCUAAGCUGCCACGGGAGACGGGCACUCAGUUUGUGAAGUAUUGUCAUGAAAGAGUCAUGUGUUGGUAUGAAGGGACCAGAAGGCAAUUUUGGCAGGACAGUUUAGCAGUCAUCCAGUUCCCUACCACACCAGAUUGCAUCAACUUUACAUUACUAAUUGACUCUGUUUUUAUCACAACUGUGCUAAAUGACAAGUGUGGUAUAGACAUUACUAUGUUAAAAAUGUAAUCAGGACUUUUAGAUAAAUUUUAAAAUAAAUAAAACAACUAAUUUUUGAAAAUCCUAAGCAAAGAAUAGAAAUGUUCCAAAACAUGCUUUAAAAAUAAAUCAUUCUGGAAUUCUUCAGACAUUUUUCAUACACUAGAAAUUUCACCCCUACAUACUUUUAAAGCUAUCUCCUUAACAUAUUCAUAAUCCUUUUGCUUUAAUAAAAUUCAAGAACUACAGUACUACAGUAAUUAACUUUUGUCCAUAAAUGACAGAAUUAGAAUGAAAUGCUGUGUUUUCCAAACAGAAAAAGCCAGUUGUCACUCUAUUGAUUUCAGCCUGCUAGAGCAGAAUUAAUUGAAGACGCUCUCAAAUGUACACCAUGAUCUAUGCUGUGUUAUAGAGGUGUUAAACAUCUAAGCCCAUCCUCAUCUUGUUAAACACGGGGCAGAGGUUUGUGGUGGCAUAUCCAUUAUAAAUUCAGCCUAUCCACUUCUGUAAGAGAUAUCUAUAGCAGAUCUAGUAGUAGUUUUCCUGGUUGGCAUCAUACCUAGCAACAAUGCGAGGAAACGCAGAGAAAGCAUUGCAGUUUUUGUCAGUUGGAAUCUGGAUGGCUCAGAUCCUAGAAGGAGGAUCCAAGAGAUGUCUUGGAAGGGAAUAAAUGAUGUUAGUCUGAAUAAUACAAUAUUAACAUUACUAGGGGCUUGUCUACACUGGCCUUAUGCCCUGGUUUUGACCGGAUUUCUGUUCUGUAUCAUUAGGACAUUCAGAUGAUGUCCAGGGGCAAAAUUCAAGUAGAGUAAGAAGAGUAACAGAACUAAAUACUGACUUACAUGAGGUAUCAGGUUUGUUUCAAAGCUUUUGUGUUGCUAGUUUGAUUUUCACAUUUGUAUAGUCUUGUUUUUACCUUAUUUGUUCUGUAGUUUUACACUGUUAGUUGUUUUCUUGUUACUUUUACUGCAUAAUAAUUCUAUAAAUUAAUAUGUAUUUAUCCUUACUACCAACAUGGACAUUAUGUUUUACAAGCAAUGUGCUCACUGUUACCUUCCCUUUUUUGUCUCAGAGUUCAAAUUGUGGUUUCGUUCUUGAUUUGCAUUAGAUAGAUACAUUUUUUUUCUAGGUUCAGUUCAAGAGCUUGGAUUUUAUCUUUCAUGUCUUUAAAGUUUGAACAACUUGGAAUCUGGGUAGAUUAAGAAAGGCCAAACAGAAAGUAGAUUGGAUCUACUGAUAGCUCACUGGUAAUUUGCAGUAGAUUAGCAAAGAGUUUCUAAUUCCCACUCCAUUAACAGUCAUGACGCCAAAAGGCCUUUCUUCCCUUCCUGUUGAAAUUUUUAAAAGCUUGGAAAAACAUAAGUAGUUUUAUAUGGGAAACGGUUUCUAUAUGAAUUGUAUUUCUGGUACUUAAAUUCCUGAGCAUAGCAUGUAUGCAGAGACACCUGGUUCUGCCAUUCUCUAUCUGCCUCCUCAAGCCACAGUUUUGCACCUGGCUUUGGAUGCUGGGCCUUGAGUUUCUAGUGAAAAACAAACUUUUCACUAAAAAAAUCAGUCUGUCCUUGGAUAGCUUCCAUCCACAUCAUUCCUGUGUCCUCUUUGUACUUUCUGUUCUACAUCUAUGCUCUUUUUCUGUGUUCCCUGUGGAUCAAAGUGAAGCAAAUGGACUUCACUUAACACCUUCUGGAAUAAUUUGCGCUAAGGGAAGCCUUUCUGGUCCCGUUGCUAGUUACUUCUUGUUGCUUGGUGAAAACUUGGCUUUUUAGGUUGGCCUUAGUUGGUGGCUAAGAGUGGAGCAUUGUGUCCCUUAUAUUCCUUACUGCUGUGAGUUGUUUUGUUCCUUUUUAUUGGUUUUUCACCUGCUGUUAUAUUGUUGUCAUUUUUGUUGCUUCUCUUCUUUAUUUCUGCUGUUUUGGGGUUGUUGUUUUUCUCUUUUGAGGCCCUGGGGACGUUUCUAGCUCGUUUGUUGUUGUCGUCAUUGUUGCUGCUGCUGCUGCUAACGACUUUGAUUUGCUUACCAAAAUGAUGCAUAAAUAAAUAAAAAGCAUUGAACACACAAUGGUUGUAUAUUCCAGGACAAUUAACAAUGAUUUUUUUUUCUCCACCUUCCUUUUCCUACAACUAGGGCUUGUGGACACUUACAAAAUUGAAAAACCACAUAUAGAGAACAACAUAUGACGGGGUUAGACUAGAUGGCCCAUGUGGUCUCUUCCAACUCUACUAGUCUAUGAUUCUAUAUAAUAACAUUGUUACAGUGUAAUGAUGCUAAUUUAUCUAUAGAACUAGACAGAUUUUAGAUGCACCUAGUGUGUGUGGGAGAGGAAUAUAGUAUGAGGGGAGGGGAGGAAAGAAAGAAGUGAAGAGAAAGGAAAGGAGAAAGCUACAAAGCCACAAAGAGCACCUUCCCACCAUUGCCAGAGUGUUGCCAUGAAGGCAUUGUGAGGUAGGUAGAGCUAAAGAGGGGAGAUAGUAGAUGGACAGUAAUCCCAACAAUCCCCAGGCAACACCAGUUUUGUAUUACUAUUUUGUAAUACUAUAGUUUUGUAAUACUAUUGGUAUUAAUGUAGAAUUAUAGUCAGAUACAUUCCUAGUCAAACAUUCUUGUCAUUCGUCUCCCUAAUAUGGCUGCCACCAUUUUUAUAUUUGAAAAUAAGUUCUACUGAACUCACUGGCACUUCCUUCUGAGUUGUGUUGCACAGUAUUGCAAUUUAAGCAAAUUAAGAGCAUUAAAGAAACCCCUUGAUAAGAAUUAGGAAAUAGCUUUUUGCUCUUUGAAAAUGGAAGUCAUAACUUUAUGUUAUGUGUGUUUAUUGCUGUAAGUACUCAUGUCAGUUCCUUAGCAGGAGGAGUAACUACAGGAAGUCUUAAGACAGACUUUCUCCCUAUGCACAGAAUAUAUGCCACUCCCGGUAAGAUGAAGAGGAAAGGCACACACAAGAGUACUAUUAAGGAACAUCUUGGGAAAAAACUAAAAUGCAUUGUAGAUGUGAAAAAAUGAAGAAAAUACAUCUGUAUAGUGUACUGAAAAACAUUAAAUCAUUAUCGUAAGAACGUGAAUUGAAAUCACAUUUUUCUAGAGCAGCCACUAUGUGCAACUGCUUUGUGUAAGGAUGAUCUAAUGUUAUUAAAUUGUCAUUACAAAAUAUCCAAUUCCCCACAGAGAGGUAACGAGGGGGGAAGAAAUUAACAAAUUUCAGUCUGAUUUGCUAAUUGCUAAUUGGCUUAAGGAAAGCUUAAAAUGACCAAGCUGAUUGGAAACAUCCACCUCCAACCAGAUCCAGACGCAUAUUUAUAAUAGAAAGAGCAGCCAAGACAAACAAAAAAGCAGAGUCAAGCAUCCUGUUGGCAUUGUGUUUUUGGCAUCAUUGUAUCUACAGAAAACAAGUGAUACAUGAAAUGUGUAAAGACAUCUGUUUCAUAACCUAUGGGGCUUUGCUCACAAAGCAGUUGUAAAAUCUUCUGGGGGAGAGAAAUAUUUCUAUAUAUCUGUGCAGAUGCUCUUUUGUAAGGAAACAAAUCCAUUUGAGGAAGUGCUCAGCAGUCAGAAAAAGAACUUGUCCACUGAAAUCUGUGUCAAAUAUUUAUUUCUCACUGCUGUUAAUAUAGGAAGAAUUUGCUAUCAGGUAACACCUACAUAUAUCAGGUCAAGUUCAUCUGAAUUGUAUAAAAAACACUAUGUAACAUGGUUUUUUGUCCCUGUGUUAUAAAUGUCAUUUCCUAAUUGGUUCUGUAAUAAAAACUUGGAAAAAGUGUAUACUGCAGCACAUUUUGCUUUAGUUUUUCACUGAAUAUCCCAAGUCUCAACCAAUUCAACAUAGUUUGUGGCAGCCUCAAAAUGAUAUUUCUGGAGUAUAACAACUAAUUUCAAAGUAAGUACUACACAAUUAAACAGGAAAUAACACUUUGAAACCAGGAACAGAAAUUUUGUUACAUAGUGUAAUCUUACAAUGAUGACGGAUGAGGGGGUAGAGGUGAAAUACCGAUAGACACAAGUGGGAGAUAAAGAUGGAAUCAGAAAGGUUAAUAUUACUAAGAAAAUAUCAUUUAAUAUGUAUAUUGAAAUGGUGAUGGAUUGUGAUAUUAUUCUAUCUGCCUUUAGAAUAAACACAUUUUUUUAAAAAAUGAUGACGUAUGAGGUUAGUUUGUUGUUUUUCAAGAUCCUUAUGACUGUAGACCAUUUAUUUUUUGUUAUUUUAUUUACUUACACACUUCAAGAGGACCUGAAAUCUUGUUGCAGUGCAAAAAGAAAAAACAUGUUGUAGAAUUGUCAUGCAGUUCAACACAAGUGGUUCUACACAGGCAUUAAAUCUAAGUUAGGAAGUGGAUUGAAAGGAAUUGGUUCCACUUUCCAAUACACAAACACCCCAGGAACCAAUUUGAGGCUAAGCUGGUGACCACAAUAUCAGUUGAUUAUGGAUUGGAACUGAACCCAAGAAUUGAUUUUAUCCUUACCAAGUCUACUGGGAUGUACUGAUGUAUAUCUCCAUGUCCAUUUGGGAUCAGCCCUGGACUGUGGCAAGGCACAGAAAAUGAGAACUAAGGAGUAAAAAGUAAGAGUCUCCAUGGAAAUGAUGUAGUUUCACUUCUGGGGUAGUAACUGCUUAUCUUCUGGCAAGCUAUGUUUCAGUGUUUCAUAGGCUUCAUCAAUGCCAGUGGUGUCCUAACAAGAGCUCUGUAUUUUCCCAUCAGCUUUCAAGCUCUAUAUGGGCUGUACUCUGAUCGGCUGAAAUGCGAUUUUUUACUUAUUCCAGACUUUGUGGUGAUAUUUUUAAUGCACUGUUUCUUGCUUGAUACAUGAUGCAGCAAACAUUGAAGGUGUACAUUUUGUGGACACCUUGCUCUCUGUUGUCUUCAAACUGCAUUAUGUGAUUUGUGUAGGACCAUCCUCAGUCAAAUAUUGAUUCUUUACCUGACUUCUUCAGCCAAUCUUCAGAUCUGAAGC